ACUGAACUAAAAAUGGAAUAGUAAUAUUGUAUACAUUUUUUAUUUUUUAAAAAACUUCAAAUACCACCCGUGAUUUCGCACUUUUUCACUUUAGUAUCACGUGGUUUAAAGCAUAUCAAUUUAAUACCCUGUGGUUUCAUUUUUUUUCUUUUCGUUAGCCUCUUCGUUAACUUUUCGUUAAAUCAUAUAUGAAAAACUACAGAUACUCCAUUUAUAGUUUAUCGAAUAUUCACUUUAAUAUUCUUUAGUUUUAACUUUGUCACUAAUUUAACGAAAAAAAUUAGUGGAUGGAGUAACAAAAAGAGAAAAAUAAAAUCACAAGAUACGAAAGUGAUACAUUUUAAACCAUGGGAUACUAAAAUGAGAAAAUGUGAAAUCAUAGGGGUGGUAUUUGAAGUUUCCCUUUUUUUUUAUUAUUAUACUUAUUUAAUGGUAAAUUUUUAUGGUAAAAUAAAAUUAAGUCACUCCAAGGAUAAUUAAAAGUUUUUUCAAAAGAAAAAAAAAAGUAAGAAAAAAUUGAUGGGCCCCACAUUGAGGGGGAUUCGCCAAGCCCCAAAAAAAACGUCGUGGGACCCACCACGAGCGAAAGUAUCGUGGCCCCACAUCACGAGACCUCUGUGUGUGUUGCUGUGUAGGUCAUAAUUUGGGUCCCAUUUUCGGUCCCUUUUUUACUUCGGUGUCUCCUCUCCCUUUUUGCGACCUUAUCCAAUUCAAAACAAAGAUUCACUAAUCACACAAUGACUUUUUCAUUUUAUUUUGUUUGGAUUCUUUUUUUUGGAUAUUCGGAUCCGAAAACCCGGAUCCGAUAUCUUCCCAGAGCCUGAUGUUGCUGUUUCGUUCUACUUUCCCAAAAUGCACCACUACCCUUUAAAUAUUUUUUAAAAAAAAUUAUUUUAAAUUUACAUUUUAUGAUUCUUUGUAUAAAAUCCUAAGUUGGGCUGAGUCACAAUCGAAACCAGCGGAUACUGUAUCUGUAUUUCUGUUCGCUUUAAGGAGCCAUUUGGUUAGAUAUAAUUAUAAAUACAAUAUAGUUGGGGAUGCAGUAAUUAUAACUAUAUAUAUUUUGUUUGGUUAGAUGCAGUAGAAAAUACUGUGAUUAUAAAUAAUUUAUUUGGUUAUAUUUAGUUGAGAAGCGCGUUUGUAAAAUUUUAUCAGGAGAUGAGAUUACCUCCAACAUAGAAAUUGAAAAUUUAUUUUUAUUCAAACAUUAAUUAGAUAGGUAAACUCAUCUUGUGUUUACAGUUUUACUCUCUUCAACUAUUAAAAUUUGAGUGUAGUUUCAACUACGGUAUUUGAACCUCCUUAUGCAGUUCUAGCUACAGUUUUUGGAUUCGAAUGUAUCAAACUAAACGUCAGAUUUACAUUUGGAUAUAGUUAUAACUGUAAUAUACAACCAAUAACCCCUAAAGUGAAUUAGUUGCAUAUUUUUAAUAGCUCGAGUUUUUUGAAUUGUGAUUGGCAUCGACAAUCUAACACAAAAGUUCAACUAGAGAUGUCAACGGGUCGGAUUCGGGGCAGAUUUUUGAAGGUCCGAACCCGAACCCGACUCCAAACCCGAGACCUGAACCCGAACCCGAACCCGAUCCCGACGGAUUUUAAAAAUCCAUACCCAAACCCGAACCCGACCAAAAAUCCGAAACCCGAACCCGAACCCGAACCCGAAAAUUUGAACCUGUAACAAUUAUUUCUUUUUUCAACAUUUCAAAAUAUAUUAUAUUAAAUCUAAAUUUUUAAAAUACAAAUUCAAAUAUAACAUCAAAUAUAUAUAUAUAUAUAUAUAUAUAUAUAUAUAAUACAAAAUAAAUUCGGGUUCGGGUCGGGUACAAUCAAAAUUCAUAUCCGAAUUCAUAUCCGUCGGGUUUCUAUUUUUGAUAUCCAUAUCCGAAUCCAUAUCCAUCGGAUAUAUCCGUUUCAUUCGGGUUCGGAUUCGGAUAAAAUUUCGGGUAUCCAUACCCAUUGACAUCCCUAAGUUCAACCUAUACAAAAAUGACAAUAACCCUCUCAAUUAUCCCCAUUUGAAAUUCUAUAUAUAGAGAUGGUGGAAUUGCUAAUUCCCAUGAAUAUUUCAUUAUCCUAACAAUUCCCACUAUUUUUAGCCAAAUAUUGCUUGAAAAUAACAUAUAUUUCAUUGCUAUCUUCACAAUACAUAUCUCUAUCGUUUCAUCAAUUAAAUUGUGUGACUAACAGCGUUGAUUUUAUUAUUUUUUUUAAAGAAAACAUUAAAUCUACCACUAUUUUUGUUUGAAUUUAAUAAAAUUCAAUAAAUUUGAUACGCCCUCGUAAUAAAAGUGGCUAUGUUAAUAUCGCUUAUUCAUCAAUAUUAUAGAAUAUUCAACAAAGUUUGUAUAGGAAGGAGCUUCAAUUAUGAAGACAUUAAUUAAUUACAUUAUAUCACACCAUUUCAUAGCUCAAAAGAUAAAAGUGUGUGUUGCUUUUUAGUUGGCAUGACAAGUCCUAGCAAAUGCCCAAUGCUUUUUUUUUUUAUAUUUUAUAAAUUAGCACAAGUGAUUAUAUUUAAUUGAUAAAAAAUAUAAAUUACAAGCAGAUAAGUAUAACUAUAACAAAGUAUAGUGAAUAAAAAUAAUUAUUAAAUAAUGAUGAAAAUUCAAUAGUUUUUUUUUCAAUAAUUCCAUUAGUAAAUCCUAGAGCACCGUUUGGUUUGGGAAUAGGGAUAGGGAUAGGCCCUUAUCCCCCCCCUUAUCCCCCCUUUAUAUCCAAACGCUAAUUUUUUACCCGAGAAUAGUAGUUCUCGGUUAUCCCCACCAACACCUCCAUUUUCUAUAUAAAACUUUCUAAUAUUUUUCUUAUCCUCGGGAACAACCCAAUUUUCAUCCAAACGCUAUUUUUCUUAUCCCCAUACUUGUACCUAUCCCUGUAAUAGCUAGUUCUUGCUUAUACCCGAACCAAACGGUACUUAGGAAUUUACUAAUGGGAUUAUUCACUAUACAAUGUUUCAAUAAAGUAUAGUGAAUAAAAAUAAUUAUUAAAUAAUGAUGAAAAUACAAAAGUUUUUUUCUUUAGAAAAAGAAAGAAAGAAAAGGUAGUGGAUAAUGACAAAUAAAAAGAGUGUCAAAGUACAGUGCUAUUAAUUCCACCUUUUUUUUUCACUUUUUAAUCCCAAGCAAAGUUUAUCAUAAUCAUUAUUUCAUUUUCUUUUGAGUGGAUUGAACCAUCAUUUUUUUUUCUUUUUUUUUUUAAAAAAAAAAAUAGCACGCUAACCGCUUCAUUCAUUCAGAAGACGAACUAAGCUAUAAAGGUGAGGCAUCACUGGCCUCGGUUGUGGCAAAACGAAACGGCGAAAAAAAAAAUUAGCGAUUACAUUGAUGUCUCUCCCCUGAGUGAAGUUUCUCUCACUGGUUCAUCAGCUAUUUAAUCUUGUUGACACCUGCACAUGGGUCAGUCUAGGUCAUCCAAAAGAUCACACAAUUUUUGAUAUUCUAAAUAACCCACCAGCAUACUGUUAGUCCAAUAAAAUCAAUACUUGAGUGGAUUGAAUUUGAAACUAGCGUUUCUCAAACACUAUUCCCUAGUCCUAAAACUCCACAUAGGAUAACUCAUCAUAUCCAUGCAUUAAUUGCUCCUAUUUAUGGAGGGUCCAAUAACUCACAAUGCCAAUUGCAUGCCUCAAAUUCAACUUUGCAUUGCUCAUAGAUGGACCUUACUACUUACUACUCAAAAAAGGCAACUUAAAGAGAUCAGUAUUCUGUCUUAUAAAAAUAAAAAAUUAACAGGUGGGAAGUUUUUCAAUAACGUUUUGUUAGAGAGCUCCAGUUCAUUAUCGCGUAUCAGUGUUGUCUCUAUCCGAAAGCUACAAUCCUUCCUUCAAGAGUUUGAAUAUUUUUUUAAAAAAAUUAGUAUUUAAAAAUUCCUCAAAGAACUAUUGGAAUGAGACAAAACUAAUAUGUAGGAGCAGAUCGGGGGGCUCUUCAUUGAUGCCUUAUGCUAGGGAGCUCCCAACUGAAGUUUUAUCUCCUCUUGUGAAAAAAUUUGAGUAGGGAGCACCCCAACGACGCCAUGUUGGAAAGUCCCAAUCCAUCGCCACAUGCCACUUUUAUCUUUAUCCAAGAACUUUAAUCCUUAUCUCUAGAGUUUAAAUAUAUUUUUAGAUUUUAAUAUUAAAAAAUAUCCAACGAAUCAUUGAAGGGGAGUAAAAUUAACAUAUAAUAGCAAAUCAAGGGUUUUUUAACAAGGUGUCGUUAGAGAGCUGCUCACUCACGUUUUAUUUUACUACUAGCAGGAGAUCGGGUUGGGCAGAAUCACGUUUGAAAUGGCGGGAGACCGAGUUAGGCUUAAUCAUGUUCAGAGUGGCGGAAAGUCGGGUUAGAUCGAGUUACGAUUGAGAGCGUGGAUGAUGUAUCCUUACCCUUUAAAUAAAUUAGUUAGUUGCGUCCUUCUAACAGUUUGAACUUUUGAAAUUAAUAAUUAGCGUCAUCGAUCCUACACUUAUGACAUGAAUUGGCCAUUUUAGAAUAAGUGCCAAAGUAUGAUUUAAACAAAAGUUUAUGGGACGAUCCCUAAUAUAAGACUGUUUCAUUAGCCGUUAAUCAUAUAAAUGUUACGAAUCUCAAAAUUACAUGGACGAUAGAUAGAACAGUCUCAUAUCGAGGAUUGUUCCUAAGAAUUUAUUUGUUUCUUUUCCUUGUAAUUCUAUAUUUAAGCACUAAAAUUGAGGCAAAUUAGUUGCCCUUCAUUGUUUUGAGUAAAGUUAAUUAAUAGCCCUUUGGGCAACAAUAGGUGCACCAUCUCACCCCAUGCAUUGUCCACUAAUCACUCUCUAUAGCUUCUCACAAUUCAUAUUCAAUUUGUUUUUAUUUAAAGGGAAAAAAAAAACCUUAAUAAAAAUUAAUAAAUUUUUUAUGCAAAAAAAAAGUUACAAGCAACUAAUUGGAAAAAAAAAAUAAAAGUAAACUUCAAAUAUCACCCAUAUAGUUUUAUAUUUUUUUCACUUUAGUACCAUAUGUUUGAAGUGUAUCAAUUUAGUACCAUGUGGUUUUAUUUUUUUCUUUUUGUCAGUCUAUUCGUUAACUUUUCGUUAAAUCAUAUACAAAAAAGUUGAGAUACUCCACCUAUAGUUUAUCGAAUAUUUAUUUUAGUACCCUUUAGUUUUAACUUUGUCACUAAUUUAACAAAAAAAAUUAGUGAAUGAAUUAAUUAAAAAAAAAUUAUAGGGUAGAAAAAUAAUACAUUUUAAAUCAUAUGUUACUAAAAUGAGAAAAUACAAAAUCACAUAGGGUGGUAUUUGAAGUUUAAAAAAAAAAACAAAAAAACAGAAAAUCACGCGGGCACAGUUACCGAGGCGGAUCAGCCACCGCCCAGCCGGCCAGCCCGUGACGCGCGGGCCCCACGGCGCCGGUCCAGAGGAUCAGGUCCGUCCGUACCACGUCAGCGGCUACAACAACAGAAGGAGACGCAAUUCAAAUUCAGAACAUUGGGGAAAUAUACAUUGUGGCAAAAAUAAAAAAAAAAAGAGGAAAAAAACGCUCGAGAAAUCGCGCACCGUCCGAUCUCCAUCAGACGGACGUCAGUUUCGGGUGGGGGGCCCGCCGACACCCGCUGCUGCCAUUUUGACCGUUGCCGCGAUCCGCCGUGCGUGUGGGCCGCUUCCCUAUUGGCUGGUGGGCUCGCGCGGGGCCCACCUGCUCAAACGGCUAGUCUUAUGACUCUUAUCCGACGUGGCAGAACCGAUCGGCUGCCACGUGGCAUUAAGUGGCCCCCGCACGGGUGCGGUUCCCCGAGACACGUUUGGUGGCCACGAAAAGCUUUUUUAAAAUUUUAAUUUUGGUAUUUAAUUUUUUUAAUUUUUUUAAUUUAAGUAGGGGUGGAAACGAGCCGAGCUCGAGCGAGCUUAGCUCAGCUCAAGCUUGGCUUGAAAUUAAUUUCGAGCCUAAAUUUAGGCUCAAGCUCGGCUUGAAAUUAAUUCGAGCCGAGCUCGAGCGAGCCUAAUUUCGAGUCGAGCGAGCUCGAGCCCUAAACGAGCUGCUUGAAAUUCUUAACAUCGUACAAUCUAUAGUUUAAUUUUUAUAAAAAUAUUAUCUAAAAUUUGAUACAAAAAAUGUCUAAUAGCUCAACAUACAAAAUGAAUGCAUGAAAUAUGAUAUUAUAAUAUUAAAAAAAAUCAGGGAAAACAACUCUGAGCGAGUGAAAAAGAGAGAGAGAGCAAUUAAAAUAGGAUUUUAUUGGUUUGAUUUUAUGGGUCCUAUAAUCUAAAUUCUAUAUAGAUACAAUUAAAAUACAUAAUAUAAAUUUAUAUAAUUAAAAUAUAUAUUAUAUAUAAUUAUAUAGAGAGAGAGUUCGGCUACUAUACUCUAUUAGUAUAGAUCUCUUUACACUCAUAAGUUUUUUAUCGUCAAAUAUAUACUUUUGACCAUUUCCAACCGUAAAUCAUACUAUUCAACCAACCACCCACUCAAUCCUAGGGGAUCACUANAUAUAUAUAUAAUUAGGUUACAAUAUUAUUAAUAGUAUCAACUACUUGCUAUUAGGUUUUCGGCCCUUAGAUGAAGGGAUGUGUGGUCAGGAUGAUAGUAGCCCCUAGGAUUGAGAAGGUGGAUAAUUGAAUAGUAUGAUUUAACGGAUGAAAAUGACCAAAGGGGUAGAUCUAACGGCAGAAAACUCGAUAGCAUCAAAUACUUGGUAUUAUCGAUAGUAUAGUAGCCGGACUCUAUAUUUAUAGGUAGGUCUAACAGCAGAAAACUCGAUAGCACAAAACAAUUGGUACUAUAGAUAGUAUAAUAGCCGGACUAUAUAUAUAGAGAGAGAGUCCGGCUACAAUAUUAUCGAUAAUACCAAAUGCUUAGUGCUGUCGAAUUUUUUGCCGUUAGAUCUAUCCGUUUGACCAGUUUCACUCAAUAGAUCAUACUAUUCAACUAACCACCUACUCAACUCUAGGGAAUCACUAUCAUCCUAACCGCACAUCCCUUCAUCCAAGGCCGAAAACCUAAUAGUAAAUGGUUGGUACUAUUAAUAAUAUAGUAGACUUUAUAUAUAUAUAUAUAUAUAUUUCGAGCUUUUCGAGCCUAAUUCGAGCGAGCCCGGUAAUACUCAAGCUUGGCUUGAAAUUAAUUUCGAGCCUAAAUUUAGGCUCAAGCUCGACUUGAAAUUAAUUCGAGUCGAGCUCGAGCGAGCCGAAUAUCGAGCCGAACGCGAGUCGAACACGAGCCGGCUCGCUCAUUUGCCAGCCCUAAAUUUAAGUGAUUUAGUAAUUUUUUAAAAUAUUUUUAAAUAUAAAAUAUAAAUAAUUGCUUAUUUUUAUAAAUUUAUAGUUACAUAAAUUAUAUAAAACUACUAAUUCAAAUUUUGAGAUUAAAGAGUCACUAAUUUUUAAAAGUUACGUAGUAUAGUCUGAUUCCAAUGUUUGUUUAGAAUUAAUGAAAAAAAAUAAAAAAAAUAAUUUAAUUAUAGCUAGAAUCUAAUAUAUGAUCCAAUAAAUAAAAAAUGAUUUAAGAUAAAAUAUAUUUUUGUGUAUCUAAAAACUUUUUCCAGAUUUAUUAUUAUUAUUAUUAUUAUUAUUAUUAUUAAUUGGGAUUUUGCAAAUGAGUACUUUUGCUUUCUAGAAAGAAGAGAAUAUAAUAAUAAACAUAAAAAAAAUGGCCAGCUCAUUGGCCAGCUCAGCACAUAGAUAAAAGUUGGUUAGUGCAUGAAAAAUGAGUCCCCUUUUGGAGUAGGGUUUGGUACAAAUAUGUAAUGUUGGAUUUAAAAAAAAAAAAAAAAUUUAUGGAUCCCAUUUGCGCUAACUGAAAUUCUAAAAGCUCGAGCUGAUACAGCAAAAAUAAUCAUUUUACUUAAAAUGUACAGAGACAGCGAUGACAAAUUCUCAAUUGUGCAUUAACUCAAUUUAACUUCAGACACGCAGAUAGAAUGUUAGAUACCGUGUAAGAAUAUUAUAUAAAAUUGAGUGUAAAUUGGUCCGUAAGUAUUUAUUGUUAAAUAGCGUAUCAUCCUAUUUUUUUUCCAAAAUUUAUUAUGUUGAUUUUUUCAGUGAAAUAAAAUAAAAAGAAAACUCCCCCUCACUUCUCUCAAACCCAAUUAAACCUCUCUCUCUCUCUCUCUCUCUCUCUCUCUCUCUAGAAAACAGAGCACUCCUCCAUGAAGAGUAUAUAAUAAGAAAACAGAGCAAAAACAGAGCAUAGUUGUAGCAAAUAACACAAACAGGGGAGGGAUCAAAAAAUGGCUCCUUUUUCUUCUUGUCCUCCUCUCUUCUUCCUCUUCCUCUACUUUGGAGCUUCACUCACCCCCAUUAAUGGCGAGCCCAUCCCCUCCCUCCCCACCCUCACCCCACUCUCCUUCCACGACGCCUACACGCAGCUCUUCGGCGACUCCAACCUCGCCCUCCGCCGCGGCGGCAGGAGAGUCCACAUCGCCCUCGACCGAAGAACCGGUCCAUUAACCCCUCCCCUUCUCUCUCUCUCUCUCUCUGAUUCCAUUGGAUUGGUUUAUGAUUGCACUAAAAUUGGGCUCUUUGGAGAUAAACUCAGGUGCCGGAUUCGCCUCGCGGCGCCUCUAUCUCCACGGCUUCUUCAGCGCCGCCAUUAAGCUCCCUUCGGAUCACGCCGCCGGUGUCGUCGUCGCUUUCUAUGUAAAAACCCCAUUUUUAUCAUGAAAAUUUUGGAAUUACUCCGAAAAGUUUGGAUUUUUAGCUUGUGUUUUUCCCUCUGUUUCUCGCCGCCAAUUCAAAGUUCAUAGCUUUUGAUUCUUUUUAUCUUCUGUUGUUCAAAUUUCGAAUUGUAGGAUUAUGAGCUUUGGAUGUUGAGAUUUCCCUCUUAAUCAACAUAUUCAAAUCUAAAUUUAAAUAAAAUUCCAAAUGUAUCCAAUUCCAAUUUCAACAUAUUCUUUUUUAUUAUUUUAUUUUAUUUAACAUGUGAAUACUCCACUAAACACAUCAAACUGUAAAACCAAACAAAACAAAACACCAAAAAAAACAUUUUUUUUCAAGCAAUUCAAGGGAAAAAAAGAGUGAGAGAGAGAGAGAGAGAGAGAAACUUACAAUUGAGGAUGAUGAAAAGCUUGUGGUGGAUGCUGCUGCUGCUGCUGCUGCGCAGAUGUCGAACGGAGACGUGUUCGAGAAGACGCACGACGAGCUGGACUUCGAGUUCUUGGGCAACAUCAGGGGGAGGGAAUGGCGGGUGCAGACGAAUGUUUACGGCAACGGGAGCACGUCGAUCGGGCGCGAGGAGAGGUACAGCCUCUGGUUUGAUCCCACAGAGGAUUUCCAUCAGUAUGCCAUACUGUGGAGCAGCAGCAGAAUCAUGUAAGUGCUGCUACUUCUGCUGCUACUUCUGCUACUCUGACCAUUUUCUUACUGCUGAAUCAUCUCUUUUCUAUGCUUCAGUUGUAUGAUUUGUAGUUUUAAAUUCGCGGUUUCGGUGAAAUUUGAUGGCCAGUAACUGACAAUGCUGUUGAAGUUUAAGGAAGUUUCCAAUUCUAGAGAGGAAAUUAUAACCCAAACCAAAUUUCAUGUGGUGGUAGCAAGUUUCAGCAAAUGGUCAAAUUAAGUAAAUUCAGAUGUAGAAAUGCAUGAGAAUGCACCUGACUAUAUUCAUGCUUAAGAAUCUAGUCUUCUAGAAACAGAUGGAUCAGAACAUCUCGUAACGCCCUAAUAGUCCCACAUCGGAUGAAAAAAUGAUUCUAAUUGGUAUAUAUAUAUCUAUGCUAAUAACAAUAACCGGACUUUAAGCAUUUUGGGCCGGUGGUUUAACUCUAAUAAAUUAUCAUUGCUAGCGGGUUGGAUCAUUACAAUUAGUAUCAGAGCUGAAUAUCGGCCUCUCCGUUGGUAGGAUCACCUGUAGGAGUCACUUCUUAAACCCGUAUGAGUCACCUCUAGAAUCUCAAUUUCUGGUCACUCGUAGAAGCCACCUCUAGAAUCUCACAUCAGUAAGCAUGCAUUUUGGGUUGAUGGUUUGAACCCAACGAGUUAUUAUUGCUAGCGGGUCGGAUCGUUAUACAUCUUUUCUCCUUUACUUCCUAUAAGCCAUAUUCUCUUUAUGUUAUGUUAUGUUAUGUGGAUUAUUAUGAACAAUUCCAUCUUUAUGAAUUAUUUUCCGUGUGCUUACUUAGUUGUAAAAAAUAAAAUUUCGGAAAACUAUUUUUACAAAUUUUCAGCUGAAAUUAAAAACUCAAGCUGCCAAAACUUUUUUCUUUCUUUUUCUUCUACCGAACUAAAUAAAUGUGAAAAUUUCUCCUUUCAACCACAUAAAUAUUAAUAUAAAACUAUUUUUUUCUUUCCUUUUUUCACUACAAAACGUAAAACUUUUUUCCCACCAAAUUUUUUUUUCUACAAAAAAAACUUUUUUCACGGUUUUCUACUAAAACUACUAUUUUUUUUUUUCUACGGAAAACUAUGAAUCUCUUAUUGUUGUUUUGUCGUUACUUUNUUUUUUUUUUUUUUUUGAGAGAGAUAGGUAGCAUGCGACCUGUUUCGUUUAUUUCAUUUAGAAACACCAUUACUAUUACUAAGGGUGUUUUUUAUUGGUCAUAAACUAUACCGAAAAUUACUUUUCGGCUCGAAAUUUUUUUUUUCAUGUGUUAGUUUAACCCUAAAAAAAGUUUUAGAAAAUUAUUUUUAGGGUUAAACAAAAAUUUUUAGAAAAUUAUUUUUACAGAUUUGAGGAAAAUGGAGUGUUUGCAUUUUCGCCAAUUUUUCGACAAAAAAAAAAAAACUCAAGCUACGCAAAUUUUUUUUCAUUUAUUUUUUUUUUUUCACCGAACCAAAUGAAUGUGAAUUCUUCUCCUUUCAAUCAAACAAGUAUUAAUAAAAAAAAAUACCCCCUUUUUUUUCCCUUUUCACACUACAAAACUUUUUUUUUUUCUACGAAAAAUUAUUUUUCAUGAUUUUACGUACAACCAAACGUGGCUUUACUAAGUUGAGACAUGCUAAAUUGAGUUUCACUCUUUUGAGCAGAUUUUACAUUGAUGGCAUUCCAAUUAGGGAGGUGGUGAGGCCUCAAGCCAUUGAUGGGCUUGGGCAAUUUCCAUCCAAGCCCAUGUCACUCUAUGCCACCAUAUGGGAUGGGUCAAGUUGGGCCACAUCGGGCGGGCGCUACAAGGUAAAUUACAAAUACGCCCCUUACGUGGCCGAAUUCACCGACCUCGUCCUUCGCGGUUGCGCUACCGACCUAACGACUCACCAGCCGACCUGUCGCCAGGCCGACAUUGAUAUGUACGACACUGUCAGUUUGUCGGUCGAGCAACGGUUGGCCAUGGAUGACUUCCGCGAGAAGCAUAUGACUUACGGUUACUGCUAUGAUCGCCUGCGAUACACUAAUCCUCCGGCAGAGUGCUCAACAGGCCGUGAGGCCGACCUUUUCCUGGAGUCGGGGGAAGCCCGGGGGUUCUCCGACCGCCGCCGUCACCGCUAUGCAAAGCGUCAUUACCGGACGGCGUUAGAUGACGCAUUUUGAUUUGAACUUCAUUUAGUUGUGAAAAGAAAAAGUCUUAGGCUAUUGGGAAAAGGGGAUUAUUUUGUGUUUAUAGAGAGAGAUGGUAUUCAUCUUUUCUUCAUCAUAGAUUUCUUAUUCCUCUAACAUGUUGGGAGGAAACUUAUGAAUAGCAAAUGAAUAAACAAGGUGAUAUGAUUUUUCCUGGGGCCAUGACUUUUUGAAAAGAGGAGAGAGAAAGAGAGGGAGUGAGUUUGAAAAAAUUGUUGGUAACUAAGUCUACAUAAAGUAAGCCAUUCACCACAUUUCUACAUAAAAUAUUAGUUCUCGAAGUUCAAACUACGCAGAUGUAUACUACUAAAUGGUUCACUGCUUUUACGAGCACCCUCAAAUAGUUUUAAUGUUUUGAAUAAAAUGGUAAACGAUUUGUCGCAUUUAGAAAGCAGUGAUUCAUCUGUGUCUCAUAAUAUUUAGGCCUAAUUCUAUAAAUAAGCUUUUCGAGGGAUUAUUGUUACAAUUAUAAUAAUAGGUCUGAGUUUGGUGCCUCUAGGGUUUGGUUUGGGCAAUUAUGUCAUUCCCUUUUUUGGCCAAUGAGGAGGUUGUUCUCCUUGCCUUCUUGUUUCACACAAAAUGGUAAGAUUCCUAUGAGGUCUCAACUCAAGAAUAGGACCAAGUAACAUGCAAAAGGACAUGAAUAUGUGACUUUCUCUCUCCUAACAAGUGAGAGGAGACCACUAAGAGAGAGAGAGAGAGUGUGUGUGUAAUAUUGAGAUGCAAAAAAAAAAAAAAAGUACAUAGCUGAAUAAAUCCAAAGAAAACAUCUUGUGAGAAUAAUCAACAUAUAGCACCAAAAAAAGCAGUUGGUAAAAAUCUUAAAAGUUAAAAUUUAAGCUAAUUGUUUAUUUUAAUAAAUUUAUAUUUACACAAAUCGCAUAAAUUACCUUAGUAGCUUAAUCAAAUAAAUUAAAAGGUUAGAUAGCAAAAUCAAAAUUUUUAAAGAUUUAGUAGUCGGAUCAAAAUAGGUGAUAGUUGAGGUAAGUUGUGUAAUUUUGUUUCACCCGGAAUUUAAGACGGUGUCCGGUUUUAUGUACAUGAGUUUCUUUUUUUUUCACACAAACUGAAAACAUUCAGAUAUCAAACAGUAAAUUCAUGGAAAGCAAUCAGAGAAUCUAAAUUACAGAUCAAACAGUAAAAAACAAAAAAGGAAGAAGGGUUUAUGAAACAAUUGCGAAAAUUAAUGUACAAAAAAAGCAAUAGAUUGAGGAACAUUAUUUGAUACAAGGAUGUGUGUAUUAAACCAAUAUCAGCUAAGAAACGCGUAGUUUCAUUUCAUUUCAUGUCUUGUACGGAACUCGGUUUUUUGGCUACUUUUAUGAACAAAAUAACUAGUAUAUACUUACGGUAAGAUCAAAUCGCACAAAUUUAUUAAUCUAGCAUCAAUCAAGUGGUUCCUUUUUCAAUUUGACUAAUAGGAGAGAGGGAUUUUGAACUUAUCGUCGAUAAUUUGCCUUGUUGUAGUCCUACUCUGAAUCAAAUUUGAUUUGAGUCUUCUGGAAUGGAGCUGGAGCCUUCGAGAUCUUCGAUAAGCUUGAUGAAGUUUUGAACCAUUGUUUUUCCUUCCGGCGUUAUGAUGCUUUCCGGAUGAAACUGCACUCCCUGCAACUCAAAGAAUCAAACAGGCAAAUUUAUAAAAUAAAUUUAUGAUCAGAGCAAGAGAAGAUUAGGCUGAUGUUUUCUUAGUGAGUUGAUGCGAAUCGUCAAAAUUACGCAUUUACGUGAUAUGACAGAUAUUCCAACUUAGCAAUUCAUCAAUCUUUAAUGAGUGAAAUUUACAACUACCUAUUAGCCAAUUCAGAUUCUUGAGAACAUGUGUGAGAGCGUGAAAGUCGGUUUCGUAUAGCAGGAAAGAGGUGCGUUUGAGAUGUUAAAUUUUUUAAGUUUCAUACUUGAUGAAGAUAGAAACACAACCACAAUAACAGACAGCUGAAACAAGGAAAAGAAGUUACCAGACCUGGAUAUGCCUGUACUUCUUGUGUCGGGCAGCCAUAACUAGCCCAUCUUCCGUCCACGCGACAACCUCUAGAGAGUCACUCGGAAAACUGUCCUUCUCAAUCACAAGGCUAUGAUAUCUUCCAGCCUGAAAUGGACUGGACAAAGAGACGGCAGGAGAAAAUGCCUUUAUAAGUGAUAAUUAUCACAUCGGCACAAAGUAUCACAAAAGAAGCCAUAGUUCCGUUAAAUGCAUAAGCUUAGAGUCGAAUCAUAGGGUUAGCUCUAACAAGUGAUAUACAUGCUAAAAUUAUCUUGAUGUUAUUAUGUCUGUUGCACUGAUAAUCCGUGAUGUUAUCAGUAUAUCUAUUCAGAUUAUUUUGCAAAUAGUAUUCUGUAAAGAGAUUGGCCAUAUGGAACAAGAGAUUUCAGCAUUUAAAAAUAUGACCUUUAAAUUGUAUUAUUCAUGAAGAAAAUAAAAGUUUCUGAGUUCAGAAAACGAGAAUACACAUCGAGCAAAAGCCGCUAUUGAAGAGUAAAAAGAUGUAAAUACAAUAAUCUUACUUUGGCACACCGGAAAAUAGUGUAUCAACCAGUUUUUCAUCGUAAUACACCAGCGAGCUCUUCCCGUGUACAACACCAGAAGGAGAGCGUACAAUCUUCCCUAAAAGUCAACAGUGAUGCACUCAAAUUAGAACAUCAUAAGUGUCGCCCUGUAAAAUCCAACCAUUCACGCACAGCCCUUGUAAAAUCCGGAAAGCCACAUACGCCACCCAUAAAAAAUGCAGGUUCUUAAAAAAAUAUGCUUGUUUAAUUAUGGGGAGUCAACAAAUUCAUUAGGGGAAGAUGAUUUUGUACUGUAAAACGGCUAACAAAGAGGGGCAUUGCUGUAAAUGCAAUGGCAAUUUCACCUCUGUGUUAGAAAAUUAGGUUUUGAAUAGCAUAUAAACAAAAGCUCAAAUUUUGCAAGAGUACAUAUGUGAAUAAAUAAUUUUGUAGGGAUAAAUAUAUGUCACUGUAUCUAAAUGAGAUGAGUUGUAUUUGUAAAUUGAAAUGUAACCAUACCUCCAAAAGCCUCUCCAAUGCAUUGCAAGCCCAUACAAACUCCAAAUAAAGGAAUAGAAGGCCCCAACUCUAAAACAGUUUGUAAAGAGACUCCUGAAUCCUGAGGGGUGCCUUCAAAAAGAGAAAAGAAAAUAAAUAUUCAAGUUUCUUCAUAAAGCAAAGCAAAAAUUAUCGAGGAUUUAAACACUAACCAGGACCUGGAGAAAUUAAUAUCCCUCUUGGUUGUUUCCUAAAAAAACCCAAGUAAAUGAUCAUCGGCUAAUGCAUAAUGCUUGACUUUUAAUUAAAACACCAAAAGUUAACAAACGAAAAAAUUUCCAACCUUUUGAUUUCUUCAACGGUAAUUUCAUCAUUUCGAUAUACCUCAAAACUAGCUCCCAGGUCGCCCAUAUACUGCAUUAUCAAAGAUAAAAUGCUUUUCUAUAUCAGCAGCUGGUUCGCCUAAUCUGUCAUGCAAGGACCAUAUGUUUCCAGCUUUCUGCUAUUUGCCACGUAAACAGAUAAACAAUAGAGGAAUGUAUUGCUUUUAUAUGUGUUUUUGGGUAUCUCUUUAUUACCGCCACAAGCAAAACUGGAGAGAAUAUCCAAUUCUAAUGGAAUUCAUAUGUCAUGCACUGUAACAGAAAGUGUUACUAAAAUGUAAAUGAAGUUACAGUUAGGGAUAGUUGCGCUUGAAGAACUUAAAUUCAAAGUACCAUCUAUUGACUUAGCAUUCAAAUAUGCACACUCAAACAAUAGCCUGCCUUUCUUAACCGUCUCAAUAGGUCUGAGCAGAUCGCAUGAAGAGUAAGCCAUCACAAACAGUAUCAGGAAAAGAUCUUUAACCAUAAAAAUGAAGGGAAAUACAUGAGGGUGCAGUUCUAUAGUGAGAUUCAACCAAUUUAAUUCAUUUUAUAUCCACUCAAGUUCUAACGAUACCUGGCAUAAAUUAUAAGUGAAGCUAUCAUAGUUGUCGAUCACAAUGAUCGGUUUCGAAUCCUUCUUAUAACCAUUCGAAACAAAUGCUCUUUCUGCCGUUACUGCUUGUAUUGGAGCAGUAAAACUGCUUCUCCUAUUUGAUAAAACUCCACUUUUGACCCCUGAAAGAAAAAAGUCAAUUACAAUGCACUGUAAAAGCUGUAGGAAAUAGGGAAAUUAUAUUAUUCUAUGGUGUGCCUCGAAUUCUUGGACCCAGUCCAUUAUGUGAUCCGCUACGACACAUUUGGGAGAAAAAUGCAAUUGUGAGAGUUUUUGGAGGUUUGUGAUGGAAGCAUAGGGCUUGGGACGAUAGACCUUUUCUCCGAUUGGAUUAGGAUUAUUUACCAAUAUAUUCGAUGUUGGUGUUCUCCUGAUUAUUUACCAAGCAUGGAAAAUGACAAUUUUUUUAUCUCUAUCAUCUGCGAAUUUCUUAUUCUUAUGAAGAGUCAAAGGGCUUGGGCCCAACUCAAAAGCUUAAGCUGAUAGGUGAAGAUUCCCUUACACAUUAUAUGGGAACCAAAAUUUUUGUUUCUAUUCAAUAUGUGACUAUUUAUUCUUAACAUUACAAAUCAAUUAAGCAAGAAAAGCAAAAGAGUACAUUCCAAAGUAUAAAAAUUGAAUUAGGAAAAAGAAGAGCUUGUUAUUUCCACGUCCAUCAUAAUCUACCAUAUUAGAAACAAUCAUCAAUGGAACAAAAAAAAAGACGAUCUUUAAUCGAAAAAAUGCAGGAAAAAUGCAAGAGUAUGCAUUCAAAAAGAAAUUAGAAAAUUUUGGUAAAAUCAUACAAAACUUACUUAGACUAUGGACUAUUUUGAAUCGGCGACCCAAACUUUCAAAAGUUUGAUUUUACUGCCCAACCUUUUAAUUUGUUCGAUUUGAGUCAAUUAACGGCACUUUCACUUCAAAAUUUAAGCUAAUUACUUAAUUUAACGAAUUUAUAAUUACAAGAAUUUUAUUAAUCAUACUAACUAAAUACAUAAAGAUAAACGACGCAAUCAAAUUUUAAAGUUAAAGUGUCGUUGAAUACUCAAAUCAAACAAAUUAAAGAUAAUAAAAUCAAAAUUUUGCAAGGUUGGGUAGCCGAAUCAAAAUGGUCCAUAAUUCUGGUAAGUUUUGUACGUUUUUACCGAGAAAGUUUUACUUUAUCUUUCCAAUCCCUUUACACUCUACCAUAUUACAGACAACGAUAAACAACUCCUCUCAAUCGAUCGAACCCUAAUCCCCAAUCCCCAACACAUUAAACAACGAAAAAGAUCUCUAAUAAAAAAUGCAGGAAAAGUGCAAUUAAACUGAAUUAGAAGAAGCUCUACUUCAUCUUUCCAAAUCCACCAUAGUCCACCUUAUUAGAAGCAAUUAUCAGCUCCUCUCAAUCGAUCGAUCAAGCCCCAAUUCCCAAUCCCCAACGCAUAAAAAAGGGGGAAAAUAUCAUGUUUCUAAUCGAAAAAUGCGGGGAAAAAAGGGGAUGAGGAUCGAUUACUCGUCGGAUCGGCAACAGGGGCUAGGGCGGGGGAUCGCGCAUGGCGGGGCGGGGCCGCGGCUAGGGUUUGGGGAUCGGGGUAGGGUUUGGAGGAGGAGAGGAGGGAUCGGAGAGUGAGAAUCGCCAUGAGAGAGAGAGAGAGAGAGAGAGAGAGAGAGAGAGUUGGUGGAGAGCGUAGUUGAGCAUCUCUCGUUCUCUCUUUGGUUAAAAUGUAUAGAUACACCUAAACUUUAACCAUAUUUGAAAUUACCCCCCUGAACUUUUUAAAGUAAAAGCGUACCCAAUUUAUCUCAACUAUAAAUUAUUUUAAAUUAUCUAAUUAAUUUUUUAAAAACUUUUAAUUUACUAUCCAACAUUUCAAUUUAUUAUAUUUGAGAUUAAAAUUUAAGCUUAUUACUUACUUUAAAAAAUUUAUAAUUGCGAGAAUUACGUGACAUUAAAAUUUUCAAGUCAAAGUGUUGUUGACCGACUUGAAUUAGAUAAAUUGAAAUUUUGGUACCACCUCAAAAUGGUCCAUAGUUCGGAUAAUUUUGUAUGUUAUUUUUUUAAAAAAAUUUAAUUUACAUCCUUUUUAAUUAUUAACUGUCUGAUUUAACUUCUUUUGUUAGCAAUUUUAAAAGUUCUAAUAGAAUUAAAAUAAAUGUUCAUAAAAAAUAUACGUGAUUAAAAAUUACUUUAGCCAAAACAGAGGCCACGUGCAUCUCUCGUGGAUGUUUGCAUGUAAUAAAUAAAAGGGGUCUAAAUCAAAUAACAAAAUUUAGGGAGUGAAAUUCAAAAUUGGUUAAAGCUUAGGGGUGUCUAUACAUUUUAACCUUUUUUUUAAAAAAAGUUCGUUGACUUUUCAACCGUCACACACGAAGAGCACCUUUUGCCCGUAGUCAACUCUCCUGCGUUGACUAACACUACGAAUAUUUUAGGAAAAAGUAUAAAUGAGUAAAAAUAAAUAAAUAAAUAAUUUUAAUGAAAAAUUUUCCAACAAUAAUGACGAGUCCCUGAUCCUCCGCUGUUAUAUAUCAAUUUUACUUUUAUUUUCAAAUUUUAGUAUUAAAAAUAUUUAAUAAAUAUUUGAAUGGAUAUAAAUUUAACGCAUGGUGUUGUUAUCUGUUUGACGCUCUCCACUGAAAUUUUUAUUUGAAAAAAAAAAUCAUUCAAUGCGAGUAGGUACGUGUAAUGUGGGUCGUAUCGUGUCGAACUUUCGUUUUAACCGGCCGGUACCUGCCACACUGCGCGGCACGGCAUUGAAUUUAGUUCGUACUUUGUCACGUCAUAUUCGUGCUUUCGUUAGUUUUUUUUUAUUUUUUACAAAAAAUAAAAAAAAAUACAUAACUUAUCUAAACUAUAAACCAUUUUAAGCUGAUUAUUCAAUCUUUUAAAAAUUUAAUUUUACUAUUUAAUAUUUUAAUUUAUUUGAUUUAAAUCAGACAACGGCACUGUAAGUUUAAAAUUUGAAUGCGUCGUUUAUUUUUAUAAAUUUAAUUAGUAUACUUCAUAUAAUUUUUGUGACUAUAAAUUUUUUAAACCAGGCAAUUAGUUUAAAUUUUGAUGUGAAUGCCGCUGAGUGACUCAAAUUAAAAAAAUUAAAAAAUUGCGUAGCAAAACAAAAAUUUUGACAGGUCGAACGGUCAGCUCAAAAUGAUUCAUAGUUUUAGUAAGUACAGUACGUUUUUUAUCGUUUCAAAAUUGAACUGAAUCGCAUUAAUAUAGUGACUUUAUCUGAAGUAAUUUUGUCGAAAUAUAAUCCGGAUGCGGAUAUUAACGGAUAAUAUCGGUACGUGGAUAUUACCGUCCCCCUUACAUAUUACUGUACACAUCAAUGUAUAAUACUACUAAAUAAAUCUGGAUUUUCGUAUUCAUAUUUAUUUCUUAUGGAUAUCAUAUUUGCGCCUAUAUCUGACCGGAAUUUGGAUGCGGGUAUCAACGGACAAUAUCCGAUCCGCUUUCGCCCCUACCGAAGCUCCACUAACCUCGAUACAUUUGCAUCCUUUGCCAUGUAUGAUGGAUGUAUCAAGUACACUUGUACACCGGGUGCACGGAAUAAUUUGUUCAUGGUCGUAGAACACGCGGCUACCGACCAAGGAAAACGUACACCGAGGGGCGAGAGGAAAGUCAACACGGAACGGGGAAACGGGAAACGCGUUUCUUCGUUUUUGUUUUAUGGUCCUUUGGGGAAACGCGUUCGCCGCUACUGGUUUGAGAUCCGGCGAACGGAUGCUUUUCCCAAAAUGCCCCUAGGGGUGGGAAGCAUUGGAUUUUUGAAAAAAUUAUAUGGCUAAAUUACAAAACAAUUUUAGGCAAAUUUGUAUAAAAAAUUUAUUAGUUUUGAGAUUUUGCAAAAAUAGACUGUUUUUUUGAAUUUUGCAGAUUCAGGCUAAAUUUUUAGAAAACUGAUCAAAAUAUCCUUAUCCUUUUUUUUUCUCUCUCUUUUUUUUUUUCACUUGUUCUUUUUUUUUUCUCUCUCCGAGGAGACGCAGGCGGAGGCGGCCUGCCUCGCCUCUGUCCCACGCACCCUCGCCCUCACCUGUGCACCAUCCUUCUACCUUCCUCGCCUCCAACCGCAUCGAGGCCGCGUCUCGACCUCCUUUUUUUNCAACCCUCCACCACCGCCUUUUCGGUUUUUUACAAAAGUUGAAAAGGUAUCGUUACGCCAUUUUUUUCUCCUUUUUUUUUUCUUCUUGUUCUUUUUUUUUUUUCUCUUCAACCCUCAUCUACCACCUCUGUAACCCUCCAAAAUGGUAACAAAGACAAUGCUGCAUUCUCUUCCUCCGCCUUCGCCAGCACAGGCACCGACGCUGGUGCCAGAGAAGGAGGACUCGAAGCGAGUGCGGGUGAGAGCGGAGCUAUGGAAAAAAUAUGCAGAAACUAAAAAAUAAAAAAAUAAAGAAUAAAAUAUAAAAAAUAGUUAUUCCUACAAGAAAAAUAAAGUUGAAUUUGCACAGUUUCAAAAAAAUAUUGCACUAUUUUAAGAUAACGUUGUACUAUUUUAAAAAAAGUUUACACUACUAGAGAGAAAUAUAUACUUUUUUUUUUAUAAAAAUUACACUCUUUAAACGAAAAUUGUAUUAUUUAGACAAAAAUUAUACUAUUUUUUCUCCUCCUCAUCCGCUUUCUUGCCAAAUAAUGAAAUUUUCGUUAAAACAGUACAACUAUCAUUCAAAAAGUAUAAUUUUCAUCCAAAAAAAUAUAUUUUUCCUCUCAAAUAAAUUUUUUUUAAAAAUAAUGCAACGUUCCCCUGAAAUAGUGCAACAUUCUUCUGAAAUAGUCCAAAUUCAUCUUCUUCUUUUCUCUUUGAUUUUUUAUUUUUUUAUAGAAAAAAAUAUUUUUCUUUAUAUUCUAUUCUUUACUUUUUUUUUCUCUAUAUUUUUUUUUUUCGGCUCUGCUCUUUUUUGAAAUCUCUUAUCCAAAUAUUGGAAUGCAAAUCUGACUUAUAUCUUUAUUCGGAGAGAAAGAAAAAAAUGAACGACAGCAAAAAAAAGAGAGAGAAAAAGAAAUAAGGGUAUUUUGGUCAGUUUUUUAAAAAAUUCGAUCCGAAUCUGCAAAAUCCAAAAAAGCGACUUACUUUUGCAAAAGCUGAAAACUAAUAGAUUUUCUAUGCAAAUUGGCCAAGUUUUUAUGUAAAUAUUCAUUUUUUUUACUUUUAAAAUUUUAUAUUUUAUUUUUAAAAAUUUUAAAAAUAUUUUUAGAGGGUACAAUAUUAAUAAAGAGGGCAAAAUGAUCAAAUUACCUUUAUUUUUUUGUAAGAACAAAAUUAAUAUAUUUUUAUUAUUUUGAAGGACAUUUUCAGUAUAAAUUAUAAGAAAUGGAAAUGGACGGUAUAAUGAUGGAACUCUGAUGGAGGAAAGUUAAAUGCAACAACUUGAAAUGUUAAGUAAGUAAAAUAUAGAUUUUUGAAAAUUAGCAAAAAAAAAGCAAAAAAAGUGAGUGUUUAUAAAAAAAAUUUUCUGUAAUUUAGCCAAAUUAUAUUCUGUCACGCCCGGGUAUCAGCGGAAGCAUAUCCGGUACGUGCACAGACCCGCCAUACACCUACAGUAUAUAAGGCGUCUACAAGAAAGCAAGUCGAUAGGAGUAAAAUAUAGAAAAAUCCUAUCUUGAUAUCAGAGCAAAGUAUAAGUCCCUAAUACUAUCAACAGAGGAACAAAAAGUAACCAAUCCAAAAAAAAUUCCACAUCAUGGAGAAGUAUAACAACUAUAAUUUCAGGUUCCAGAACUCAUAUACAUCACAGGGUACACAAAAUAUCUGUACAAUGGUAGUCUCUCUAUACACUGGACAUCACCCUCGGUAGUAGCCCGAGUAGCAAGGUGAUCGACUAGCAAGCCCCUAGCAAUGUCUAGCUAGACGCAACUCCCUUACCACGAUCCCUAGCCUCUCCUGUAGAUGGCUCUGUAAAAACAACAAUAAAAUAGGCGUGAGAACUAUUAACAAUAGUUCCCAGUGGGUAAGCCACCAGCCUCGACGAAUUACACCACUAGGCUCAUGAUGUACUAAAUGAAAGUAAAAGCGAUAAUUGCAUGAUAUCUAUAUGCAAGGCUAGCAGGCAAUAGGCAUGUAAUCAACAUGUAAUCAUGAUUUCUGCACUAAUGAAUCAACUGAAUAAUAGAAGUAUAGCAACUACUAUAAACAUGAAUAUAAACAUGGAUGUGUAAGUAAAUACUGUACACUAUAACUGAUGAGCAUUAAUUACUGUCCUUUGUCAUUUAGUACUUUUAUUUCAUUCAUAAGGAUCUACCCAAGAUAGUCCAGCUUGUGCCGUGCCUAAUGGCCCCGUGGUAGUAUACACUCCCCACGGCAAUCCACUUCGGCACCCAAUCCCGCACGGGCGAGCAACUGUCGCGUAGGCCAACUCCGGAGUGCCGGCUUGUAGGGAGCUACCCUCACAAGCGUGUGCGAAUGAGCACGAUGGCAAGCAAGCAAAGUCCAUAAUCCAAUACAUCUCAAUCAUCACGUUUUAUCUUGCAAUGUUCUCACUCUCGAUCCUUUGAUCGGAAUUUCAAUAUAGCAGAUAUUGAACAUAGCUAGUAUCCACUAAAUUAGUAAUUAUGUAAGAGUAAUGCUAAUUUACUUAUAGCAUUAGAAACUUUCCACUAUCAUAGCACUAUGGUUAUAGUCACAAAGCAUGUCAUUGUUCUCUACUUUAUAAGAUUGUUAUUGUUCUCUACUUUAAGAACAUACUAGAUUGUUCAUGAAUCAUUCAACUGAGCCAAACAUAAACAUGUUUACUUCUAUGCAUGCAUUUCUCUACUUAAGAAAGAUUUCAAUUCACUACACAUACAUAUAUCAACUAUGAUGGUGAUAAUGUCCUGAAUCUAUGUCGAUUUCCAAGUUACGCCAAAUGCAUUCAUAUGCUAUUUCUAUAAUAUCAUAUAGAACAUAGGAGAGCUUCACUUGCUCUGGUUAGGUCAAACUCAUCUAUUACUAGGCUCAAAUCAGCCCAAAUGAGUCUCAAGAUUUAGCUCACUAGACCUCGACUCGGCUGAAAACGAAACGUAAGAAUCGCGUCACCACGAUUACUAAAAGUCCAAUUUCGGCAAAACUCUUAAUUAGAAUAAGAUAGUAACUUGAAUCCCUGUUUUGGUACACUGUAGUACCUUACGUUUAACCUCCAGAAGCGCUCACAAGUCAGCAGCAGGCAAUCCAACGGUCGAUUGCACCUUUGCUGCGAGCAAUAGCCAAACGGCAUCAAUAAGCUUGUGUACAAGCUACUAUAAUCGAAUUCUUACUAAAUCAGUUUUAGAACUGAAAUUCUUGCUUACCUCAGGUUAGAACACCUUCUAAACCAGUUUCCAAGGUCACCAAAUGAGCUCAAUUAACUCGGAAACCUACUGCGAACAACGACCCCAAAAUCAGCUUUUUAUCGUUGAAUUAGUACCCAAACAAAGAAGAAAGAAAGUAGUUUACCUUCUUAAACCAUAAACUCAGUCCCAACUGAGUUAAUCAACAAUAUCUGACCCUAUUACAGCAGCAAAUCCACCUUUCUCUCAGCUGAACAACAACAACCCAAAAUCAGCACUUGACUCGACUAUUAAAGCAUCGAUUGAGGAAUAAUUGAGUCGAUUACCUUCUCAAGCUUCCAACCAGCACCCUACUGGUUCAGAGCUGCGAAAAACCUUCCAGAACACUCUCUUACACGUCCACGGAAGCUCUGCGACGCUCGCAAACAGCGAAGAACAGGCGAGGCGACAAAAACGAGCUAAUUCGGCGAUUUCUAUGUAGAGAGAGAAAAAACCCUAGUGAGAGAGAGAGAAGAAGGUGGAAGAACAAUCCUCUGAGCUCCAGCAACCUCUACUGAGCUCCUACAGUUGUGCUGGGCAUAAGGGAUAAGAACAGGAAGCAAAGAGACCAAAAAAAUCUUGCUGCCACGCACCUGCUGCAGCUGCUGCUUGCUGUACCGGUACAGCAUAAUACCUGUACCGGUACAGCAUAAUGCCUGUACCGGUACACAAUGCAAAAUUCGAAGAUAAUGCUACAGCAAUGCACUUUCUUACUUUUGGCCAUCCAAUCAUUCUCUAACUUAUCCAAAAACUUGCCCAAGCCUUUUAGAACAUGUCGGAUAGAUCCACAUAUCCUUCCUCAUACUCGAACUUCGCAAUUUGCAAAAAUUCAGUGUAUUACAUAUUCGCAUUCAUAUUUUUCUUCGAAUGCGAAUUCGAAUGUAGAUAUAUAUCAUAUGUUAAAUUUUUAUUAUAAUAUCCAUUAAAAAUGGAUUCGGAUUCAGAUGUAAGUCGGAUUUGCAUUCCAAUAUUAUUCAGAUAAUAAUAUAUUAAUAUGCAUAUAUAUAAAUAUGAGCUAAAACUAAAGCUAAUAAGACAUAUAAUGAAAUUAAAGGUUCACACUGAAAUUCAAAAUAUCUAUUUACCCCUAAAGGACCAAAAUAUCCUUAUUAAUUUUAAAAAACUUCUUCAAUGAUGUGAUUGAGUUUUAAAUGGGUAUUUUGAUAAUUUGAGAAUAAAUUUGAAAAUUUUGAUAGUGGUAAGAGAUAAAUAAGCAAAAAGCCCUCUAAAUUUAUAGAAGGUAUAAAAUAAAUUAGGAAUUUAUUUUUAAAAAAUAAUAAUAAUAUCUUACAAAUCUGUUUUAAAAUAUCUUACAAAUCUGUAAUAAAUCUAGUGUUGAGUUUUAGGGUGUGUUUGGUUCCACGUAAAAUUGUGGAAAAAAANAUGUGUUCUGCACCUUUGCAUUAUUAUCUCUUUAGUGCGUUACUUAAGUGAAAUUUUAGCACUUUGCCAUUUUCUACUAAGCAGGUUUCCUCUAACUUUAGGAAAACAAACCAUGCAAUAUGCUCCUACUGUAAUUUUGGAAUGUUCGAUCUUAUUCUAUCUCUUGCUAGCUAUAUGCUUCUCAUGCAAACUUACCUCUUUGCUAGCUAAAGCUUACUUUUACUGUGGUCCAUAAUGUUCUUGUAUUCUUUAACUGCAACCUUUCAUAAAUACAUUGGUCUCCCUCUCUCUCUCUCUCUCUCUCUCUCUCUCUCUCUUAUAUGAACAUUGAACACCAACACAAAAGGCGUGCUCCACAAGCUACUCCUCUCUCUCUCUCUCUAGAACUCUCUCUCUCUCUCUCCCUUCUCGAACCCUAACGAUCCCCUGAUCCGAUCUCUCCCCAUUCGAGUUUGGAUCGAUCGGAGCAUCUCGAAUCCCACCCGCAUUGCCCGCGAUUCGACGGAUCUGGAGAGGUAGGUAUGGUAUAGGGCUUCGGGGGGGAGGUCUCUGGCCAUGGCGGCGGCGGCGGAGGGCGCGAUCGGAGGAGGAGGAGGAGGAGGAGGAGGGGUAGGGGAGGGGGCGUGGGUGUUCGACGAGCGCGACGGGUUCAUCUCGUGGUUGAAGGCGGAGUUCGCCGCGGCGAACGCGAUCAUCGACCUCUUCCUAGCCCACCUCGGCGAGAUCGGCGCGCCCGGGGAGUACGAGCACGCGGCCGCGUGCGUCCACCGGCGGCGGGGCCACUGGGCCCCCGUGCUCCACCUGCAGCAGUACGUCCCCGUCUCCGAGGUCUUCUUCGCGCUCCAGCAGGCCGAGUGGCGGCGGUACCACCAGGCGGCGGCGGCGGCGGCGGCGGCGCCGUACCCUCGGCAUUUUGACGGGCCGAGGGAGAAGGAUGGGAGGAGGGGAGGUGGGUUUGCGAACCGGGGUUACCGGUUCGAUGGGGCCGGCGGGAAUCGCGGCUCGGUAUCCUCGGCUUCGGCGAGAUCGGAUGCGGAGAAGAGGGGAGAUGUGGUGGAGAAGGGCGUGGAUGUGAAAGAGCGGGUUGAAGCUUAUGCGAAAGGGAAUAGUUCGUCGGAUGCUUUAUCGGAGAAUGCAGGUGAGAACGGAUCACUGCUUCCUAUCUUAAAAAUUCUGAUACUAUUAAAAACUUGCAUUGUUGUCCAACAUCUUGUGCUUUUUACCGAUAGGGUUUUAUGAGCUUUACUUCUUGUCCUAGAAACUUCAUAUCUUGCCGUUUUUCGACCAUCGAUUCCUCAAUUGGCACAAUAAAUCAUGAUUUUUUGUCACACUGUUGUGAAAUAAUGUGAAUUAUUGGCUGUAAAUUGACAAUUUCCCAUUUUGAUAGACUUUUUGGGGGCAAAUAGCUGAUUUGAUGGGUGGCCAAGUGGGGGGAUACAUGCUGUUGUGUGCUUUAAUAUUUUCUUCCAUGUGUUGCAUUGUGUUCAGGUAAUGAUCUGAGUAGCUCAGAGACAAAUUGUGGACAGAAGGAAGGGAAAAAGCCAGUUGGCAGCGUGUGUAGUAAGUUGGAGCCUGCUGCCACAAAUGAUGUCCAAGCACUAUCUGAUCAAGGUAUCAUUUUGACUCAGUGAUGUGUAAAACCUAUCAUUGCUUUCAUGAGGAAUAAAUGGUUAACAUGCCUUAGCUAUGACUCUUUAUUGUGAUCUUAUUUCAGAUUUGUGGAGAUUUUGUCGAAAUUCAGAUCUAUGUUUAGAUAUGAUUGAAGAUACUGUAUAUUUAGCUAUUUAAGGACAUGUUAAAGGUGCGAACAUAACACAAGAGGAGAAUGCUGAGGAGGAUGAAUGGUAAAACUAACAUAUGAAAUAUAGGAUUAAAAAUAAGAUAUUUUGUUUAAGGUGGAAUUGCCUAAAUUGAGUGCAAAAUGCCUGAAGGCCAUUUGAGAUGGUACUGCCCUAUAUACAUGCUAUUGGAUUAGUCUGAAAGUGUGAAGCUGUCGAAGUAGGUGAUGUGGAAAGAGAGUAGAGGGAGACUGAAAAUGAUGUAGUUAGGAUGACCAUGAAAAUUUUAGCUGCUCUAGAUAUUAGAGAAGAGAUACCUCCAGAUGGGAUUCUGUACAGGAAGAGGAUUUCUACUCCCUAUUUCCUUUAUUUUUUUUUAAGGAUUUGCUGACCUCAAUUUGCAUAUAAGUUCAAGUUAAGUGGAGUUGACAUACACGAUAUUUAACGUUUGAGCUAGUGAAGUGUGGUUCUUUUGUUUUUGGAAUAUUAUUAAUGUACUCACUCUUCCUAUUGAAAUAAAAAAAUUAAUAGAGAAAAGUCAGAUGAUGUGACUGCAUUGCAUGUUCAGAUAGGAAUUCUGUUUGAUACUAAUACCACCAAAGAGUCAGAAUAUUGGUGAUAGAGAUGGGUGCUUUGAAUUGUUUUAUUUUUCAUUUUGAUUUGCCAUAUUAUUCCAAGAUAUGAGCUGGACUUCCUAUGCCUUCUAUGUGUAUUUUCCUUUCAUUGGUACAUCUCAUAGAGCUCAUUGUGGUAUGCCAUAGAUUCAUGUAGAACAGGUAGUCAUUCAACCUUCUAUUCUUCUUUACCAUAACGACAAUCUAAUUUGUGCCUUUUGAGUCUAGAUUUUACUGCCUAUAGAUUUCAGACAAAGAUGUAUGCCAGUAUAAGUUUAUUUUAUUCAGUUAUUGUGGGUGAAAAAAAAUCUAUGCAAAGUGACAUAUGCUGGAGAAUUUUAGAGUUUGUAAGAUUCUUAGAGAUCAUCCCUUAUUGGUGUAAGAAAUGACCUCCUCAUAUAAAGGUCUCCUUACUUGUAGUAAAGCUAAAACAUAUACUUCCAUUAGAUACUUAACAUUUCUUUUACAGUCUUUGUAAUGUUCUUUUCGCACAAUUUGUGUCAGUGAGAACUUUUCCUCAGUUGGAUGCAGUUUUCAGUGCCCUGCAUUUUAAUUUCUCUUUUAAUUGAUAUAAGCAUGGUUAGAACUGGAGAAGAACUAUAACUUGAUGGCUUCAAAUUUGAUCCUCUCUCUUGUAGUUCAUGAUUCAUGAAACAUGUAUCUAGUAAUGAAUUCGAACUUUAAUGUGUAUAGUGUUAAAUGAGUUCUGCAGGUAUUUCUCUGUUGUUUGCAGGGAGGAAAAUUAAUUACCUUCCUUUCUUUGAAGUCUCUUAUCCUUGUGCACAUUCUUAUGUUAGUUCUUUUACACAAAAACUUUUCCAGUAUAAAUAAUCACUUGAAAUUUUCUCCGUGUAUUCACUUUUUCUUGCUUUUUCAUAGACUUUGCAUGCAUCUAACUCAAUACUCUUAUUAGUCUUGGCUCAUUCUUUGAUGCUCUGGCAUCUGCUUCUGUUUUGUUUGUAUUCUCAACUUCUUAUCACUUUAUUCAUUGUUUUCCUUUUCUUAAUCAACAUAUUAUGUAUGUCGUGUUAUCAGUAACUUCAUCAGAUUGUGCUUGUGUGAUCAAGGGAAUGUCUUAAAUAACUUAUCUUUCUUCUGUUUUAUAAUUGUCCAGGAGAUAUCAGUGAUUAUGUUCCACACAGUAAUGGCACUGUGACAACAAAUAUUGAGGGAAAGGGGAAACCAAUACCAAUCCCCAAAGAUUUUGAGGUUAAUGAACAAAGUGAUGGCAGGAUAGUACGUCUUCUUAUGCCGCUUCCUUAAAUGAUCUCUUAUCUGGUCCUUAGAACAAGACUCAUUGUGUUAUAUUGUUUUCCAUCCUAACAGUCAAAAUAUGACAUUUUUCCUCUAGGUUAAUAUAGUUGAAGGUCUUAAGCUCUACGAUGGAUUACUGGAUGCAACAGACAUGAAUCAGCUACUUUCAUGGGUAAAUGAAAUGAGAUCUGCUGGUCGUCGAGGAGAAUUACAAGGUAAGCUCGCCUUUGGCUAUCCUUUCCGACUGGACUUUAGAAACUUAUAUAUAAUUUGAUCAUUCGAUGUAAUAUAUAUGCUAAUAUAUGCGGAUCUGUUAAUUAUAUUUUCUGUGAUUUAAGAACCAGAUGCUUUGACGUGACAUUGUUUGUUAAAUUUGGCUUAUUUUUUAGGGAAAAAACAUUUUCUUGGAACGUGUUAUUUUUAGUACCAAUGUAAUGUAUGCUCGGUUUUUCUUUGCACUUUAGCAGGAUAAUUUUUGAAGGAUUUUCUGGCUGUCGCAUUUAUGACAUGUUGGCAAAUACCUUAAAUUCUGUAAUUUGCAAAUAAUUGUAUGAAUCACUCCUUCCUGUUUAUUUCUCAUCUUGAAGAGCAAAAUAAUAGCUUAUUGCUACUUUUUAACUUGUCAUGGGAUAGAAAUUUGUCUUGCAUUUGUGAUCUUUAUGUAAGUGUGGAUCUUAUCUUAUUGACUUUCUUGACCCUGCAGCUUCUUCUAGAUAUACACUUGUGUUAGGGAGCUUGAUACUUUCAGGGUAUAGCUUGAAUAACUGGAAUUCUAGAAUAUGGUGUUUUUUUUCUUGAAUAUACUGUUUGAUAUGAAUAAUCUUAAAAUUGCAGGAAAACUUGGUAGUAGCAUGGUAACCUGAAAAAAAAAUACAACACUCAAACAGUCAAUUUAUGAGAACACAGAACGUCAAUAUUAUACCCCUACGCAUGCAAACUCGCACUUUUACUUCUUUCUUCUGUGAUCUAUUGCCCCAUUGUAACCUGGACCGCGUCCCUCCCCUUCCCCUCCCUUCUUUUGCUAGUUUUGGUGUACUUCCUGACAGCCUGGCGACCCGCCAGCAAUGUGCCAUCCCUCUCUUUCUCUAUCUAGCUCCCAUUAAUCCCUUCUUCCCUUACCCUUCCCUCUCUGAGUGGUGAGGCCUUCUGGCACUGUGGUUACCUGCCAGCUACCAACAAUCAGCCUAUGCCCAUAUGACCAGCUAGCGAUUGACUUAUGCCCAUGGUGAUUUCCUCCUCAUGGCAUGAUGGCCUGCCAAUAGUCGGCAUACAGCUUGCGUGCUCGUGCAAGCUUGCCAGCGCUCGCUAACCCUCGUCCCCCGCAGCCUUUUAAUCCUUUCAGCAAUUGGUUUGGGCCUGCGUCUGACUUGUGUCAUGGCGAUCAGUAUGUGACUAUUCCCCUGCCUCUCCCUCUCCUCUCACCUCCCUUCUCCUCCCGCAUGGCCUCAGGAAAAGUUCCUUCAAGAGGACAAUGGAAACACUUUGUUACCUCGAGUAAAGUGCCUGAGAUGAAUCGUGCCUAUUUCAACAGUUUUCUUUACCUUGGAUUUUUCCUUAGGUAUUUAAACCAAGCCGCAUGUUUUUUAUUUAGCCUACUCUUUUUCAAAAAUUGAAGGAACACUUUCAGACCAAUUAAAUUGAUUCAACUUAGAACUGUUCUUCCCAUCUCAUAGGGCUGCUUAUCUUAACCAUAACUUUUAUGGAUAUCUUUCUUUUUUUGGCGGACUUAAGAUAAAGUUUGUCGACUUGUCGUCGUCACUUCUGACGUAUUACUUUGGGAGUUUCCUUUUACAACUUAAAUUGUUGAAGAGUGCUUGCGCUUUGCAUGGUGUAAACAUAUGGCCUUUAAUGUAAAAGUGCUUGCACUUUGCAUGGUGUAAACAUAUGGCCUUUAAUGUAUAAUAAUUAACACAUAUUUCUGCAUCUUCAUAUUAUAUAGAAAGUUAAAAGCUGUUUUCAGCGUUAUGCUUUUGAAAUUAUUUUUCUAGUAUAGAAACCCUACGAACUUUGUUCUAUUGUACUAGGAAGGUAUAUAUAUUUUCCUUUGGCUGGCGGAAUUUCUGAUUUGUGUGGAUGAACUGAUGAAGCCUUGGUAAUUAGUCAUACUUAUGUCCUUCGUCCUUAUGUAGAUGAACCGGCUGCUGGCAUUAGCAGUGCAAAGCUGCUUCCAAUAAUGCUGGUUUUAUCUGGAGCUUGGGUUUCUUUGCCCAUGUGCUUGGUGGUCGAUACUGCCCUACAAAUGAUGUUAAUUUAUAUGCUGUUAUGUGUGCCUUCUUUUUUGACCCCAUAUUUUAGAUAGCAGUUUUUAACAGUUUUUUAGUGUGGUUAUGCAUGUAGACGUGAUAUUUAGUACCAAAUCUAUAAGGUCAUUUAGGUUUGUUAUUGUUGAUAUAGGGGCCACCUAAUAACUAUAUUCUGGGAUCAAGGAAAAUAUAUAAUGAUUUUUGUGGAUCUCCUCUCUCUUUCGUGUCUAUCAUUUGUUAAUUUGACGAUUCCCUUAAAGAAAAUCACUUCUAGUUUUUCUCUUUCUUAUUUUCCACUUUGAUUAUGAAAAACAGGGCAGACGAUGAUGAUAGCAAAGAGACCAAUGAAGGGUCAUGGAAGGGAAGUGAUUCAGUUAGGCAUUCCCAUGGUUGACGGCCCUCCAGAAGGUAAAAACACUGCCCAAAUUUCCACAGGUUUUACUGUCCGAUGGCAAAAUUUAAUUAUUAAAUCAGUACUCGAAAUUUUGUGGUAAUGAAUUUAUCUAAACAUGUGCUCAUAAUUUUAGAUCGAAAGGUGGAGGCCAUCCCUAGCAUAAUGCAGGAUGUGCUUGACCGCUUAGUACGGCUCCAAGUUUUGCCGGUCACACCUGAUUAUUGUAUUGUUGACUUCUUUAGUGAGGUAAGUCAUUCUUUCUAGUUUCUGUAUCAAAAUAUUGUUGAGAAAAAUAAAUAGUGAGCCUCACAUAUGAUGCCACUUUUAUAUAGGGGGAUCAUUCUCAUCCUCAUAUUUGGCCACCUUGGUAUGGUAGGCCUGUUUCUACUUUAUGCUUGACUGAAUGCGACAUGGUCUUUGGCCGAGUAAUGGUGUUUGAUAGAGGAGGAUAUAAUGGUGCUCUACACCUAUCUUUGCAAAAUGGGUAUGUCUUUUAUUGCAUUUUGGCUAAUUCAUCUCUACCUCUGGAAUCAGUUAUUUAGUUAGCAUAACUGCAUGAUUUUCCUAAAAAGGCACAGUUUUUUCUUCUCUUUCCUUUAAUUAAUAUAUAUAUGCUUUUCCUUUUUUUGGCGUAUUCUCAACUCUUUUAUUUGUUCUGUUAUCUAUGCACUGUUCACUUUGCAAACUGCAUGGCAAAGUCAUCUACACUUCGUUUACGGAAUCUAGUAAAUACUGAGCUGGGUAUAGAGAGUGACGAGAAUCGUGCCUUUUCUUAGGCUUCAAGUGAGAACUUUUAAGGCAAAUCCCAUUUUAUGCUUGAUGUUCUGCAUAUUAAUGUUUGGUAGAGUAAGUCUCUUAAGGAAAUAUGACAUUCCUCAUUGCUUAUACUUCUCUCCAAGCUUUCAACAUGCUUGUUGGAUGAAAGCAUCUAAUACAUUUUCUUCAUCAUGUUGGUAUCUUUCGUAGUUUCCAUUUGAGAUCCUUGCCCAAAGAAACUUUAAAAGAAGUUCCUGUAGUUGGUUCUUCAUCAUGUAUGGCAUCUUUCGCUGUUUUCAUUUGAGAUGACCAAAGAAGCUUUAAAACAAGUUCCUGUAGUCGGAUCCAUUUUGGCUGAUUGAUGAAUCGAAUCUAAUGCAUAUUUCUUGUUCUUUCCAGGUCUCUCCUCCUGUUGCAGGGUAAAAGUGUGGACCUCGCAAAGCACGCCAUCCCCUCCAUGCGCAAACAACGAAUAUUACUCACUUUCGGAAAGUCCCAACCGAGAAGGAACUCUUGGUCCGAAAACUCUCGCUUCAAUUCACCCUCUCCGCCUCCGUCCUCGCCAUGGGGUCCGCCAUCAUUUAGGACGCCCAACUUCUCCCGCCACCCUCCGGGCCCUAAACCCUACGGGGCGGUCCCCGUGACUGGCGUCCUCCCGGCCCCACCCAUCCAUCCACAUCAACACCUCGCUCCACCGCCCAACGGAAUCCAGCCGCUCUUCAUUUCACCGGCACCCACUGCGGGCCCUGCAGCUGCCCCUUACCCUCCGCCGGCGCCCGUCGCAAUACCGAGGCACUCUGCUCCGUGGCUCCCUCUCCUCGGCACGGGGGUCUUCCUCCCUCCCGGCUCUUCGCAAACAACUCAAGCUCUCCAACCUCCAGUUUUUCCCUCUUCUGGCGAUCCUAGCUCCUCCCAUCCAGAGACUUCUUCUUUGCUCAACACCAAGUGCAUCGGGACGGAAUCAUCAAAUGGCCACAGUUCUUCUCCCCAAACUUCUCCUAAGAACAAAUCAAACGAGACGGGAGCUAAACCCGAGUGCAAUGGGGAUUCAAACCACACUAGCAAUGCUUCUCAAAAGACGAUUUCGGUUAAGGAACAGGAAAAUGAUGGCCCAAAGGUUGCGAACAAGCCCGCGAGUAAUGGUGCUAACUAGAGGAAACAGGAACUGUAUAGAUACGAAAGGAGGACGGAAAAAAAUGGGAUUCUUUCGCCGGGAACAACUGUGAAUGGUUAUAGCUGGAAUUGUUUAAACGAGUCGCAUCGCACAAAAUGUAAAUCGCGGGAGAGGGUCAAGUGACUUAUAUAUGUUAGUCGUGACGCGAGAACUUAUUUAAAUUUUGUAGGCGCCGUUACGCCGCCUGAAUUUUACCUUUUUAAUUUUUUUUUUUUCCUUUAGGGUUUGCUGUUUAUUAUUGUCAAACUUACAAACUAUUUAGUUUCUAUUGAAUCAGGUGAAGAGGCUGGAGUAAUCUGUAGGGACUUGUUCAAGUGCAGGUGCGAUCUAUCUUUACAAUUUAUGAAUUCUAAAUGCUUUUUAUUCUGCACUAUUGCCGACAUUUUUGCCUCACUUCUUUCUUAGUUAAAAUAUACAAAAGUUACAUGAACUACGGAUCAUUUUGAUUUGGCUAUCUAAUUUAUUUAAAAUUUGAUUUUAGUAUUUAUUCUUUCAAAUUUUUUUUUUUUGAUUUGAGUCGGUCAUCGGUAUUUUGACUUUAAAAUUUUAGCUAAUUACUGAAAUAAUUUUGUAGUUACGAGAGCUGCAUAAAAUAUAUACUAAUUAAAUCUGUAAAGAUAAACAAUAUAUUUAAAAUUUGAAAUUAAAGUAUCGUUAAUUGAUUCAAAUUAAAUAAAUUGAAAGAUUAGAUAGCAAAAUCAAAAUUUUUAGAGGUUGGAUAGAUAGUUCAGAGAAGUUUUGUAUAUUUUUAUCUCAGUUUUAUUAUAUGCUUUCCUAAACUAGAGAACAUUUUAAAUUGCCCCCUCAAUUCCAAUUUUUGAUCCGCACUGUUUAAAUCUUUGGGUUUUUUUUUUUAUUUUUUUUAUUUUUUUUUUGAAUUGAAUGAUUUUGGGCGAUUUAACAAUUUCAUCCAAUUCAAUACCUCUAAUUACAUUUUAGCAAAUAAAAUCAGAACAAAUAACGGCUCACGGGUAAUUGAGUUGGGAAAUUAACACAUUUUGUUAUUUUUCAAAGUAGAAUAAUUCAAAUGAAGAAACUUGGAUUUAAGUUGAGGGGCCUAUUUUAAAACAGGGCCUAUAGUUGAGUAAAAAGCAUUUAAGUUAUAUUUAUGACUUUAUUAUUUGUACAGAUAUUUACACAGCUUUAAAAUACAGAAAAAAAUUACUUCUUCUAUUCCAAUAACUAAAACAUAAUAAAAAAUAAAAAGAUAUAUUCACUUUACUCUUCAACAAGUAUAUAUUCAAAACUAUAAAGUGUUUCUUUCUUUCUUUUUUUUUUUUGAGGGUUGGAUUUAACAAAAAAAAAAAAGCGAAAAAUACAACAAGAAAUAUAAAAUCUAAAUAAUAAAUGGUAAAUAAAUGAGUGUUAUUUCUAAUCUUUUAAUGUUGGAAAAGGUAAAGAGGAUCAAAAAGGAGAGUACAACAUAAUGGCACAUAUAUAUAUAUAAUAUAUAUAUGGAAAUGGAAAUAUGGGCACUUCCAUAUAUAUAUUAAUAUAUAUAUAUAUAUAUAUUAUAUAUAUAUAUAUAUAUUAUUAUAAAUUAAUUGGAUAUAGAUGUAUUAACCACAGCAAAUUCCAAAUAUUGUUGAUGGAAAAUAUUUUGACAUAAAAGGACAAUCAUCUAUGCACUGUAGCAUUUUGAGCAAUUUUUUUUUGUAGGGCUCUCAACAAGCGGCUCUUGUUAACUCAGUAUAUUAAACGAACUAACCAUUAGUUGGCUCGUUAAAAUAUCUCAAACAUGAGUUGGCUCGUUAAAAUAUCUAUAAAAUAUCGACUUUUUUAAUGAGUCGAAUAUGAUGUUUGCUUGCAAGCAGCAAAUUAAAUUAUCAGCCCUACUACUAAGUAAGAAGUUUAAGAGUAAAAAUAAAAUUUUAAUCAAUAAUUAAAAUUCGCUAAAAUGUAGUGCUUUUACAUUUGAAUUUGGUCUAAAAUCUAAAUAAUAAAUUUAUUAUUAUAUACUAGUAUAUAUAGAGUAGAGGCUAGAAUGCUAUGCGUAGCAAAGCUGCAUCUAUUGCCACCCAUUUGUUUUCGAUGAUGGAAUCUGUUAAUUGACGAUCGUGGGCAAUCCAUUGAACAGGGAUCUAUACCAUUGACAUAUCUAGAUCAAAUUUCAAUAUCAUUUUGACAUCAUUAACCCAAGAUCAAAGGGUGUCAAAAAUUGUAAUUUUAAUGUAGAUUAUGAGGCUUUUCUUGUUUAACGGGUGUAAAGUAUCAAAUCAACUUGACAUUUUGGUUAGAAUAUUAUUAUAUAUAAUAUAUAUAGUAUAUAUAUAUAUAUAUAGUAUUAUUAUAUAUAAUAUAUUAUAUAAAUUAUAUACUACUAUCGAAUAGUACGUAGCCCUUGUACUUUGAGUUUUCAGACGUGGAUGAAAAGAUUGUGCGGUAGGAUGAAUAGUGCGUCCCCGUUAAAUUGAUAGUUGGUCCCCCAGAGUGUUGAGGUGGUUGGUUUAAAGUUAUAACUCUAAGCGAGGUGAAAUGCAUCAAAAGGGUAUGUCUAUACGGUUAGAAAACUCAUAACGUUACCAAGGCUUGGUACCUAUCGAUAGUUAUAGUAGCCGACUCUAAAUACUAUAAUAUAUAUAUANNNNNNNNNNNNNNNNNNNNNNNNNNNNNNNNNNNNNNNNNNNNNNNNNNNNNNNNNNNNNNNNNNNNNNNNNNNNNNNNNNNNNNNNNNNNNNNNNNNNNNNNNNNNNNNNNNNNNNNNNNNNNNNNNNNNNNNNNNNNNNNNNNNNNNNNNNNNNNNNNNNNNNNNNNNNNNNNNNNNNNNNNNNNNNNNNNNNNNNNNNNNNNNNNNNNNNNNNNNNNNNNNNNNNNNNNNNNNNNNNNNNNNNNNNNNNNNNNNNNNNNNNNNNNNNNNNNNNNNNNNNNNNNNNNNNNNNNNNNNNNNNNNNNNNNNNNNNNNNNNNNNNNNNNNNNNNNNNNNNNNNNNNNNNNNNNNNNNNNNNNNNNNNNNNNNNNNNNNNNNNNNNNNNNNNNNNNNNNNNNNNNNNNNNNNNNNNNNNNNNNNNNNNNNNNNNNNNNNNNNNNNNNNNNNNNNNNNNNNNNNNNNNNNNNNNNNNNNNNNNNNNNNNNNNNNNNNNNNNNNNNNNNNNNNNNNNNNNNNNNNNNNNNNNNNNNNNNNNNNNNNNNNNNNNNNNNNNNNNNNNNNNNNNNNNNNNNNNNNNNNNNNNNNNNNNNNNNNNNNNNNNNNNNNNNNNNNNNNNNNNNNNNNNNNNNNNNNNNNNNNNNNNNNNNNNNNNNNNNNNNNNNNNNNNNNNNNNNNNNNNNNNNNNNNNNNNNNNNNNNNNNNNNNNNNNNNNNNNNNNNNNNNNNNNNNNNNNNNNNNNNNNNNNNNNNNNNNNNNNNNNNNNNNNNNNNNNNNNNNNNNNNNNNNNNNNNNNNNNNNNNNNNNNNNNNNNNNNNNNNNNNNNNNNNNNNNNNNNNNNNNNNNNNNNNNNNNNNNNNNNNNNNNNNNNNNNNNNNNNNNNNNNNNNNNNNNNNNNNNNNNNNNNNNNNNNNNNNNNNNNNNNNNNNNNNNNNNNNNNNNNNNNNNNNNNNNNNNNNNNNNNNNNNNNNNNNNNNNNNNNNNNNNNNNNNNNNNNUAUAUAUAUAUAUAUAUAGUCUUCUAUACUAUCUAUAGUACCAGGGCUUCGGUAUUAUAGUCUCGUUUUUGAUCUUAGGGUGUUCAAAUCAACGAUUCACACAGUUAAAACUGAUCUUGGGUAUUUAAAGUUUUUAGAAAUAAAAUUUUAUAUUUUUUCGAUAUAGUUUACUUUAUGAUCAAGUCAUUUUAAAAUUGUCAAUUUUCAAUGGCUACUAUAGCGAGUUCGGAGUUUAACGGUGUAAAAGAAUCUAAAUUUCUUCAAAUUUUGAUAGAAAAUACUUUAAACUAUCUAGAUUAAGGUUAACAUUCUUGAUCUUGAAUUUAAAAGUCCUAUACUCAAAUUUUAAAGAUUAUUCAAUUUUUACCGUCCAUUUUGACAUAAUUUAUUUACUAAGUAAAUGUCGAAAAAAGCUAAAAUUUUAUUCUUAAGAACUUCAAAUAUCCUAGAUUAUAUUUAACGGUGUGGAUCAUUAAUUUGAAUACCCUAAGAUCGAAAACAAGACUAUAGUACCGGAGCUCCGGUACUAUAGAUAGUAUAAUAGCCUAAUUCUCUCUCUCUCUCUCUCUCUCUCUCUCUCUAUAUAUAUAUAUAUAUAUAUAUAUAUAUAUAUGGAGCUACUAUGCUAUCGGAAGUAUAAAGUAGUCGGUGCUUCCGAUUUUUGAGCCCUUGGAUCAAAGAUUUUGCGAUUGGGAUGAUAACGAUCCUCUUAAGGUUGAGUGGUCCCUCUAGGGUUGAGUGGUCCCUAUUGGUUAAUAAUAUUAAUCCAAUGGUUAGAAAUGAUCAAUGAGGUUGAUUUAAUGGCUAAAAAAUCGAAAGCACCAACUACUUUAUACUUCUGAUAGCAUAGUAGCUCUACUAUAUAUAGAGUAUGGCUGCUAUGCUAUCGAUAGCACUAAACACUUGGUGCUAUCAAGUUUUCUACCAUUAGAUUAACCUUUUUAUUAUUUUUACUCGUUAGAUUAUACUAUUCAACCAACUACCCACUUAACCCUAGGGGCCCACAUCAUCCUAACAGCACAUUUUUUAAUCCAAAAGCUAAAAAACUAAUAGCACCAAUAGCUUGGUGCUAUUAAUAGAAUUCCAGCCUAGUUUUAUAUAUAUAAUUGGACUGGAAUACUAUUAAUAGUAUUUGAAUUUUUUUACUAUCAAUUUUUUAACCCUUAUAGAUGAAAAUUUAUAGAUUAGCUAAAUUAGAUUAUAGGAUUUAAUUACAACAGUUAUGAAUAUUCGAAUUAAAAAUUAUAAUAACUUAAAAUUUAAGUAUCAAAAUAUCACCCAUCUUAUAGUUUUCGGGCCAAAUGUGCAAUGUACCCUUUUAAAAAAUAUCAAAUUGUGUGUGAUCAACCCUCUUUUUUUUUUUGUUUUUUAAGUUUUAGAAAGGUAUAAGACAUUAGAACAGCUUAAACAAGUAGUACAAAUGGUCCCUGUACUUUUGUUUUUGGCAAUUUAGUCUCUGUACUUUUACUUAAAAUAUUUUAAAAAAAAGAGGGUUGAUCCAAGGAUAGUUAUAAAUUGAGAUAUAAGCGGAGAUUACAUCAAUUUUACGUUUAGAUGAAAAUUGUAUUAUUCUUGAGAAUUAAAAAAAAAACGUUUGGUCAGGUAAGAUUGAAUAAGAAGGGUAGUAGAUUUUAUAAAUAAAAAAUAAUGAUAUUACCCUUUUAAUAUAUUUGAAUUUAAAUUUUUAAAAUUUUAAUUUAUAUUUUUCAAUUUAAAAUUCAAACUUUGAAAUCUCAAAAUUUAAAAUUAAAGUUUUAAAUUUAAAAUCUCAAAUUUUAAAUUCAAAUUUUAAAUUUUAAAUUUCAAACUUUAAAUAUAAGAUCAAAUUUUAAUUUGAAAAAUAUAAAAUAUCAAAUUUUAAAUUUCAAAAAUUUAAAAUAUCAAAAUUAUAAUUUAAAAUUUAAAAUUUAGAAUUUAAAAUUAUAAACUUUAAUUUUGAUAUGACAAAUUAUAAAUUUUAAAAAUUUAAAAAUUUAAAAUUUAACUAUUUAAUUAGAUAAAUAAUAAUGAAUUAUAAAUAGAUUAUUAUUUAAAUAUUUAUUAAUUUAAUAACUUAAAUAAUUAAUUAUUAAAAAAUUAAUUAUAAUUUAUAAUUAUUUAUAACUUAAUUGGUAGAGGAAUAAAUUAGAGAAUAACUUGUUCCACCCAAUAGAUGGAACUACUAUUCUCCCCUCUUAACAGGUUAUUUCGAAAUAACCCGUUAACGCGGAUAAAUUAAUAUGCCUUUUUUUUUUUUUUUUUUUUAAGAAUAGUGGGAUAUAAGGUGUUAUUUUUCUUUUUUCCCACAACCAAACAGGGCCAUAAUAAGUGAAUAAUUAAUUUGCAAUGUCAUAGAAGGAUACNUAUUAACGUGCCAAUUUUGUUUGGUGUUUAGCAAGAAUAGUGGGAUAUAAGGUGUUAUUUUUCUUUUUUCCCACAACCAAACAGGGCCAUAAUAAGUGAAUAAUUAAUUUGCAAUGUCAUAGAAGGAUACAAUAAUUAUUUUAUUAGACAAAUUAAUCUUUUUCUUGAUGUUGGAAAAAUUACAGUGACCAAGUUGCAAUAUCAGGAUAGUAUAUGGACUAUCAUGAUGUCCACUAGAUAGACAAUUUUUUUUAAAAAAACUUAUUUUAGGUUUUUUUUUUUUUUUUUUUAAUUCUCUCAAUAUUUUAAAAUUAAAACUUCAAAAUCAAUCUAUCAUUUUUUUUAAGGCUCAAGAGCUCAUUAUUUAACUUUCAUGCCGCAAUAAAACCUUCAAAUUUCUUCUAUUUAUCAAACGCCGUGACUUUUGCUUCUGCUUUUCUUUCCGAACGUUGAAUAUAAAAAAUAUUAAAAUAUUAGUCUCUGAUUUCUUAAGUUUUUAGAGAACAACAGUUGUCUCUUAUAAUUUGGCAUGAUAUAAGAGUAGAAGAUCCAGAAUUUGAGUCUCACCAGUCUCCUAGCAAUUGAAAAAUAUCGAGCCCAAACACUUGAGGAAAAAUACUUAAUACAAUUUAUAUAAAAAUAUCGUUAUCUGAUAACUUAAGCUUUCAAAAAAAAAUUGAUUACUUCAUAUAAUUUAGCUCCCAAGCAUUUGAAACAAAAAAAUCAAUUGUUUUAUAUAAUUUAGCACCUGAUAAAAUUACUGUAAUGAUCCAACCCGCUAGCAACAAUAACUCGUUGGGCUCAAACCAUCGGUCCAAAAUGCUUAAACUCAGUUAUUAUUACUAGCGUGUAACCCUCAUAUAAACUGAUCGAAAUUAGUAUCCCAUCCGAUGUGAGACUAUUGGGGUGUUACAAACUCUUCAUGUUUAGAUUCUGAGGUCCUCAUCAGGUCCAAACUAGAUCACAGACAGACAGAGUAGGACCAGAAUUGUCAGACGAUGUGAGAUUCUAGAGAUGGCUCCUACGGGUUCAAGAGGUGGCUCCCACCAAAUCCGUUGGUGUAGCACUUUGUUCCGCAUAGCACUUAGCUCUCACACUUCCAGCUGGUAUUCGGCUCUGAUAACAGUUACGUACAACGACCCGAUCCGGUAGCAACAAUAAUUCGUUGGAUCCAAACCACCAGCCCAAAAUGUUUAAACCCAGUUUUUUUAUUAUUAACGUGUAGGCCUCAUAUAAACUGAUCGAAAUUAGUAUCCCAUUCGAUAUGGCACAGGUGUAACAAUUACAAAGCCCAAAUCAUUAAAAAUGAGUACAAUUUGUUCCUCAAUCACCGUCAAUAACAUCCUCAAUCAUCUUCAAUAACUCAACAAUUCCUCAAUCAUUCUCCAAUAACACAACAAUUACAAGAGCACUCAACAUCCCCUAUCAAUCAAACUUUUCCCCAACACAUCUCCAUCAUAACCCUAACUAAUUAAUAAGAAAUUUGCAAUUAAUCCCUCCUACAAAAUACAACAUUAUUAUCUUUUCCAACAUCCUACAACUUCUUACAACAACAAUUCCUACCUACAUUGCUGCAGGAUGAAACAACUUUCUAGUUACAACCUUGGCUAAGCCCCAUUCAUACAACACUCGACCGAAUGCGUCGUAGAACACGAAAUUCGCCUCGAGGGGGCUCAAUCGCAGCGACAUGAAUCCUUGCCCGUCGUAGAAGAACUGGAGCAUGUCGGAGUUCGGCCUGAAUGCUCCCCUCCACGCUUUUGACCCUCCCCCGCUCGUGAAGUACUGUAUCGGGCUAGUACCGCAAAAAAAAGGAAAAAAAAAGAUAGCGUAAGAUUCGAAAUACGAUUGACGAACGUCUGCAAUAGAGUAAAUAGCUCUGUGAACACAUGGAUUUCAUCGAGACGAAAAAGUAACUUACCUAUCAAUGCUACUAAUGUGCUGGAGACAAUGAUCAUGACCAUUGACGUAAAAGUCGACUUCGUGCGCCUGUGAAAAACAUUCAAUCGAUCGAGCAAAUUAAAGCAUUAGUACAAACUAAGUUGCUUUUAGAGAUUCGUUAUCGACGACGAGUCGAACUAUAUAACAAAGUUUAAGUACAUUAGAUUACAAGAUUAAUCAUUUUAUUGCCUUGAGGAUGGGGAGGAGUGAUUUGAGAAGCUCUUUGGUGUCGCCGUGCUCGCUAACGCUUCUCAUUGUGUGAUGCCCCACAACAAUUUUCCAUGUCGCAACCGAUUCUUUCAAUGCGGAGUCCAAAUCCUACGCACAGAUCAUAAAAACACCCAAAGUUAUCGACGAGAGCUCAAAUUUACGAUCAAUCACGCAUCUUUUACGCACCUUUGAGAGGUUUUCGAUGUAAGUUUCGCGGGGAGAAACCUCCCUCCAGUCAUAGUGAUGGUCCUCAGGAUCAGUCCAAUACUUGUUGACGAAAGGGGUGGUAUCGACGAAGAAAAAAUCCGCGAUUUCUGAGAGAAAGGAAAGCAAAAGAGAUAAAAGAUCGAGAAAGGUCGAUCGCAAAUAAUUAAACCUAAAUAAUCGGAGAAUAAUGUAAGUUUUUACCUGCAUUGACAAUAAAAGAUCUCAUGCAAGUGAAUCGGGGAUCGAUCCUUCGAACUGCGUCGCUUAGUUGAGCUAGAACAUCACCCCUAUAAUCAUGAUUUCCGAGAACUAGAGAAAUAACACAAAAAUCAACAAAAAUCGCGCUAAAACAUUUAUAUAUGUUAAUAACUAAAAAUUUAUAUAUAUAUGUGUGGCGAAAAAAUUAUUACCAGUGUACCAUGGCUUGUGUAGGCUCUUUGCAGUGUAAAUGUUGGAGAAUGAUUCUUCGAACGCAGUAUCGUUGACGCCCGUUAAACCAUUUUCGUAGAAAUUAUCGCCGGUGGAUAUAACAAAAUCUAUGUCUAAUUCCUCUCCAAUCCUUCCCAUCUAUAAAAUCAAUCACAUUUUACAAAAAAUUUGGUUACAUUAAUUAGUUUCAAACUACAUAUUUGUUACUUAAUCUUUUUUUUAUACUUUGAUAAUAAUUGGUUCCUAAUUAGGGUAAUUUGAGAAUAGGAAUAAUUUGUUACUCAUCUAACCAAUAAAAAAAGAGAAAAUUGUCACCUCGCUAAUUAAAAACCCAAAAACUAACCUAAACAAACUAUAAAAUUAAAAGAAAGGGAAAAAAAUUCAACAACAGCAUUGAAGAUGCUGAUGAAGAGGUCAGGGGUUCGAUCUUCUGCUCGUGCAACUAUAAAAUAUGGCUCGAGAAACAAACUAAAUAUAUAUAUAUAUAUGUAGACUCAAAAGUAGUUAUAUAAUAAUUAAGUUGGUGCGAAAAUUUAGACCUGAGUUGCGACUAGGGAUUGGUUGUAGUUCCCUCGUCUCCCCCAAUCGCCGACGACGAGAAGGCUCAACGACCCGUCGCUCUUCGUCGGCUGAUCGAUCCUCGUGAGCUCCGCGAUGGCCGGCCCCGAGCAGAACACGAGCAGGAUCGAGAGGAUCAGAACCAGAGCCAUGGUCGUAUCAGAAAUCGAUGUAACCAUGGCUCUGGAUCUUCAAGGAAAAAAAAGACAGCUUGCGUAUAAUGCAUGCGAGGAACAACACAAAUAAGCAAACUCCUAAAAAUAUAUAUUAUCUAAAUAAACACGCAUAUUUAAAAAGUGAGAAGUGAAAGCAAGUGGAAAGUGAGUCGUGUCGUAAAAGACACCACCUUGUUUUUAUUAGUGGAAGCAAUUUUGGUGUGCGUGGAGAGCGAGGAAAACGAGGGGUACUGGUGCGAGAAAAUGCUAUUUUGUACAUUCAAAAAAUAAGAUAUUUAAUUUUAAAAUUUUAUUCUGAAAAAGCCGUUCAAAUAAUCAAAAUUGAGGACGGUACUAGACGCACCCAAAAUUUUUGGCAACUCAUUAUUACACGUACCUAUCUAAAGUUUCAAAUAUAUUUUUUAAUUUUUUAUAUUUUUAAACAAAUAAAUAAGAGUAGUAUGAAAAUACAAUUUAUGUGGUUUCGCAUUUUUCUCACUUUACUACUCUAUAAUUUAAGUUGUAUUACUUUAGUAUUUUAUGUUUUCAAUUUUCUCUUUCUAUUAUCCUCUCUUUUAAUUUUUUCGUUAAAUCACUGACAAAGUUAAAAUUAUAGGGUACUAAAAUAAAAAUUCGAUAAAUCACAAGAUACUAAAGUGAAUAUUCGAUAAAUCAUAAGUGGGGUAUUUGAAGUUUUUUGUAAAUGAUUUAACGGAGAGUUAACGGUAGUGCUGAUAGAAAAAAGAAAAAUGAACCACAGUAUACUAAAGUAAUAUAUUUUAAACCACAUGAUAUUAAAAUGAGAAAGUGUGAAACCACACGUAUAGUAUUUGAAGUUUACCCUAAUAUAUGAUUUAUAUCUACAUUUUUUGGGUCUACAAGUAUUGUUACUUGCAAAUAAAAAAUAAAUAAAUAAUUUUUCGAUUGAAAAUUCCCCUUUGAUACAACACGUUGAGACUUUUCCCUCUAAUAGCUUAAAACAUAAUUAUUUUUUUGUGAUUUUUAUAUUAUUUUUGAAAGUAAACUAAUUUUAAAAAAUAAUAGUACACUAAUAUAUUCAAUAACAUUUAUAUAUGUGUCUAUAAUUUAUACCUAAAUUAUCGAUCUGAUUGGAGCCGCUUACGAUAUAUAAUUUAUACUCCAUUAAUUUUAAAGAAAACUUCAAAAAAACCCCUGUAGUUUCACACUUUUUUAUUUUAGUACCCUGUGGUUUAAGGUGUAUCAAGUUAGUAUAUAUUCUGUGGUUUCUCAUUUUAUCACUUUAGUACCCUAUGGUUUAGAGUGUAUCAAGUUAGUAUCAUGUAGUUUUGCACUUUAUCACUUUAGUAACCUGUGGUUUCACACUUAUCACUUUAGUACUCUGUGAUUUAAAAACCACAGAGUACUAACUUGAUGUAAAAUUAAAACCACAGGAUACUAAAGAGAUAAAGUGUAAAACCACAGGGUACUAACUUGAUACACUUUAAACCACAAGGUACUAAAGUGAUAAAGUGAGAAACCACAGGGUACUAACUUGAUACAUUUUUUAACCACAUGGUACUAAAGUGAAAAAAAUUGAAACCACAAGGGGGGUUUUUGAAGUUUUCCCUAAAUUUUACAAUAAGAUUUUAUAAAAAUAUUAAAAUAGAAAUUAAUCGCAAAAGAACAAUUAAAAUACUACACUUUGAACUAUAAUAAGGUGUUAGUUAACUGAGAAUUAAGUAUAAAUUAACAUAAGGAUCUUUUUGAAAGAUCCCGAAGAUGUGGGGGCCAAGUAAUAAAAUAAUAAAUUAGUGACGUGGCGGAACGUGGUUGGUUAGUGCCUUCACCGGGUGUUACCGCACCCGGUUGUCUCCAUGUGCGGUGUGGUCACUGCCCGGUGAUUUUAAGAAAUGGUGUUUCGCGUAGGUUAAUAAUAACAAUAUAUGAAAACCACCUCAAUUAUAGAUUAUUUUGUAAAGGAGUCCUCAACUUUAUUACCUUUUGAUUUACAAUCCCUUUAGCUCGGGGAUGCAAACGGAUUCGGGUUGGUGGGGCUCCCGCCCCGAUCCGCUCCUAAUGCGGCAGUAAACGGAAAUAAAUAAAAGGAUUCGGGGCAGAGAAUGGGGUAGUUUUUAUGAUCCGAGAUGGAUUCGGAAUAGAAAACAAAAUUUUUUUUUGACCUGCUCCGAAUCCGUCUAGAAAAUUAUUUAUAUUUUAAGAAAAUAUCUCUAAAAAAUAAUAUAUUUAUAAAAAAGUUCAAAAUACAAAUAAGUUGAUGCUUUCAUUUUUCAUAUAUAUAUUUGAAAUUUUUAAAGUUUGCUUCGAAUUGUGAUUGAUAUUUUUUAUUUUUAUAAUUGAUAUUAUUAAUUUUAUAUAUAACUUAGUAAUAUUAUUCAUUAUUAUUAGAAAAAUAUUAACUUAUAAUUUACAAAAUAUUAAUAAUAUUAUAAUAUAUUAAUUGGUGAGGUGGAUUCGGGUGCCGGCGGGCGGGACGAAUUAUGAAAUAUAUUUUUUAACCCGUCAUGGAUUCGGGACGGGAGGUAGGGCGGGAUUUUGGUAGUCGGGGCGGGAAGUAGAGCGGGACUUCCGCCCCAUAUCUGUUUUGUUUCCAUCCCUAGUUUAGCUUUUAUUUUUUUUAUUUGAGUAAUUCCAGUUAUUUAAGUUAAAAAUUUUAUUAAAUUUAGCGGUUCAAUUAGGCAAUACCAGAUAAUUGUUCCGGAUUCGUUUACUACCAAAUAAUUAAAAAUAUCAAAUUUGAUAAAAUCAUCAAAACUUUGAUAAAGUUUUUGGUUAAAACUAAUUAAUUUUGGGGGAAAAAAUGCAAUUCAACAAUAGGUAACAAAUUACCGACUAUCCCUAGAGCAAGUGACAAAGAGCUUGGUGGUUGGUAUCCGAGUUUUCAAAUUCGAAUCCUAAUUUAUUAACAUUUCCAGCUAGGUUUAUUUCUAAAUGAAAUAAACGAAGCGGGUAGCGUGCUACCUAUUUCUUAAAAAAAAAAAAAAAAACAAUAGGUAACAAAUUAUCAUGACUAUCUAAUGGUAUAUGGUAAAUAUCAAUUUAGAUUAUUAGUGUGUGCAUAUAUAUAGUAUUUAAAAAAAUAUUUGAAAAAAUUAUAUAUAGAUGCAUAUAAUAGGUUUUAUAUACAUGUACACAAGAAUUUAAGUGUCUAUCAGUACAGGUCGUAUCUACCGUGCUGUGUCGUGCCAAUCAGUUAUCGGCACAAUACAAGUCCCGUACCGAUGGCACAGCUUAAAACCCUUAAUUCUUUAAAUUAAUAAAUAAUUUGCUGAAUAAAGUUCAAAAGAUUUGAUAAAAAUAUAUAAUAAACAAUUAGAAUAUUACGUUGCUAAAAAAAAUAAAUAUUUCAUACUAUUAUGUGUCGGCACACAUGAUUUUUUUUUAUGACCGACACGUAUUGGUAUGGCCCGGCAUAUACUGUGCCGUAUCAUGCCAGCAAAUUUUCGACACGACCCCGUAUCAUGGCACUUAAAUCCUUACAUGUAUAAGUAAAAAUUAUAACCUCGUCGGAUUUUGAAUUUUUAUUCAUGAUAAUCGAAACCAUAGCCGUUUAAGACACCCCUAGAACUAAGCGGGUGUCAAUUAAAAAAAAUAAUAAUAAAGUUGAGGAGUGUUUUUCAAAGUUACUGCAGUUGAGAGGGCCUCCAUGCAUUUUUACCAUAUAGCUUUGUCCUUCUUAUUAUUAUUCUAGUAUAUAUUAUGAGAAUAUUCUCCCAAAAAUUGCGUUUAUUCUGAAGCUACAGUUUCUAAUAACGCACCUAUGCUUUAUAUGGAAAUUUAUACUAAAAAUAAUUUCUAGUUUUUCAAUAUUUAUAUGCAAUUUUUUUUAGUUUUUAGUUUUUAUUUCGUAAAAGUUUAAUACUCAACUUUUUUUUUCUGGGAAAUUUAAGAAUACACUAUUAACACUUUGGUCCUUCAUGGAAACACCCAAAUUACAAACAGUUGGUUUGUAUCUAUUUCCACUUAAUAAAUUUAAUCCAAUAUAUACACUUGAUAUGUGAUAAAUUCAAACCAAAAAAAAAAUGUGAAAAUUAAAAAUAUUGUGCAUAUAUAUAUAUAUAUACUAGAAAACAAUAAUUAAUUGCUUGUGAUAUGUACAAAACAUGUCCAGCUAUUCAAAGCAUGGGCUAAUGCAAAUGGUGCUGUACGUGUCCUGUUAUGCAAAUAAUAUUUUUAUGCCAUUGUACCUGGAAUGAAUGUGAUGCUCCAUUUCUCAAAGGUUAGCUAUUUUAGAAUUAUUCCAGUCUUAGCACGCUUAAUCUAAAAUACUAUAACUGGAUUAAGAGAUUUAAUUUUAUUAUACGUCAUUACUAGGUAUAAGUACAUGUACAAAUAUCGAACGAUGUGAGACUUAUUUCGCUAGCUUUAGCUGACUUACGGUCGUCGAUCGGAGAGCUGCGCCCUGUCAUCUAUAUGACCCUAAUUGACUUUAUGGGAAGCCACGCUUCACCCAUACCAAUCGUUAGAUGGAAAAACACGUUCUAUCCGCUGGAUAUAUGAACUUAAUUUAGCGGAGACUUAUAUUAUACUUCUAGCUAAUAAUAGACUUUAAUAUUUGACGUGACGCCGCGCUUUCCAAAAAGAGGCCACUCAUCCUAGAACUAUUUUAACAUUAACACACUAAAUCCUGUUAAUCUCUUGGGCCUAAUCACUGUCCAAAAUAUUAUAUCGCCCGCUGCUUGUAAAAAUAGUCUUAUAUAUAAGAUAUAAUAAGGCUAAACCUCUUGAUCUGGCUAUAGCCGGUCGUUAAUCUCAAGAGGUUAAGAGAGUUAACAGUGUUAGAGCUAAAGUAGUUGUAAGAGAGGUGACCACCUGGGAAGCAGGGCAUCACAGACGGAAUAAGAGAUUUAAUUCUAUUAUAUUAUAUAUAUAUAUAUAUAUAUAUAUAUAUAUAUAGUUAUAUAUAUAUAUAUAUAUUAUAAUAUAUAUAUAUAUAUAUUUAUAUUAUAUAUAUAUUGUAAUUAGUUGGGAGUGUCACAAUGAAAUUGUUCUUAAUACAACCUUAUAAUUCUUCACCCUUUGAUAACACUUUUUUUUUUUUUACCUUUACUUUCUAUUCUUUAUCUACUUUUUAUGAAUGUUAGUGCCUUCGUUUUUCGAGCUUAACUUAUAGCUAGGAUAUCACAGAACUUUUUUUUUUAAAAAAAAAUAGUCUAAGUUGAAAUUUAUAUUUAUAAAAAUUGAUUUGUCAAAAUUUUAUUUGUAAAAAUAGGUUUAUAAACAACUAAGUGUAUAUGAGCUGAAAAAAAAUAUAAUAAUUGUUUAUUUUAUUCUGAAUGUGGCAAAUUUUUUUUGUAUUUCAAUAGCUGGCGAACCGUUGUUGAAUUUUAAAUGUGGUAAAUAAUUUAUUCCCUUUUUUUAUACUCCACUCGCUAUAUAUCUUGCUCUUUGAUCUAUGCUCCACAAAAAAAAAAACUUUCCAAAUAUCAAUUAAUGUUAGAUCCGAAGCCAGAGAUACAAGCCCAAAAUUUAAAAACACGUGGGGUUCGAACCUUUUGACCUAAAGAUCAACAUUCUGGUACCUUAUUAGUAGACUCAGCGAUUUCGUAAGAUGUAUACUUUGGAAAAGUAAGAUGAUUUACUAUUGCAUCGAUUUAUAAAGAAAAGAAGAACAUAUAAUGAAAGAUCCAUAAUUAAUGUAAUAGAAAUCUAGGGUUUAAAAUCAAAAUUGAAUCCGAAAAGUUGCUCAAAUUAGGUUUUAAUUUGGACCUGGAUUGUUAUUUAGGCCCAAUCAAAGCCCGGUCCAAUAACGCCCUGUCGGGCCGACCCAUGUACAUGUUUUGUCCUAUGAGUGGUUCCAAACUUACCUAGGGCAUUCCUCUGAUUUUUUAUCUCAUAAAAAUGUUUUCACAUAAAAUCAUCACAACAUGAAUUCCUAUAUUUAAUUGUUCAAGUCACUAGAUUUGAUGUAAUUAAUGAUACGUUUAUUUGAAUUCUCCAAUUUAAUUAACUAAAUUCACUUGAUUGAAAAAAAUAAAAUUAAAUGGGAGAUUUUUUUUUUAAUUUUAUUUAUUUAUUUUUUUUGAGUAAGCUGUUUCAAAAUGCCCUAUAGUUGAUGGGAUGGGAUCUCCAUACAAUUUUAGCUAAAAACAUUUCUUAUUGAAGUAAGAAGGAAACCUAAGGGAUAGGUAUUGUGUUUAGGGAUGUUAAUGAGUACAGAUAUCCGAAAUUUUAUUCCAAUUCAAAUUCGAACGGGACAAUUUAUCCAAUGCUAAAUAUAUGGAUAUGAUUUUGAAUAUAAAUAAAAAAUAAAAAAAUAGAUGGAUUCGGAUUUGAGUAUGAAUUUUGUCUGUACCCGAUCCAAAUCAGAACCCAACCCAUAAUAGAAUAGUUUUUAUGUUAUAUAGUAUAUAUGAAUAUUUAAUGUUAUAUUUAAAUUUGUAUUUAAACAUUUAGAUUUUAUUAUAAUAUGUUUUGAAAUAUGAAAAAAAGAGAAAAUUUUUCGGGUUUAGAUUUUCAGAUUUGAGUUUGCGUUUCGCGUUUUUAGUUAGGAUUGGUUUUGGAUAUAAAUUUUUAAAAAUUUGUUGAAUUCGGAUUUUCAACACUACAACAGAAUUAGGUUAUAGGGACACAUGUUUGGGACACUUUUGUGUAAGUGUCCAAUUUAUGCCAAAACUUUAAAAAAUAUCUACUAAUACCUAAAUAUAAAAUCCAAUUCAACCAAAAAUAAAAUGUUACCCUACUUAACCCACCCCACCCAGCCCAUUCGGCCCGAUUACAAACAAAAAAGAAAAAAAAAAAUCUAUUACCAUCCCCCCUUCUCUCCUCGCUCAAUCCACUGAAAUUCUAGACGAGAAGCCCUUCCCUCUCGUACUCCUCCGCCACCGCAGCCAACGAGGUAGAGUUUCGGCGGUUACUAAAUGCUUAAAUAAGUAUUGGUAAAUUAGCAGCACUUUUUUUAGAUUAUAGCGACACUUUUUAACUGUCACUAUAUACCUAGCGAUCCCACAUAUAGCAACACUUUUUAGCCUUAGUUUGGUAUUGAUGUCUAUCUAACGCUAUUAGAUAAAAUGGAGUUAAGGAAAAAACAUAUAGGGAUAUGUUCCUGCAUUCUCCGGUGGGACCGCAGAAAAUAUAUCGUAACCGACUCAUCGCGAUAUGCGGAACGCAAUAUUACGUACGGAAACAAACAUGGUAUUUUUCCAACGCACUUUCUCACCGCACGUAACGCAAUUCUCCCGCACUCCGAAACAAAGCCUUAAAAGUGUUGGUAAUUUAGCCAGCAGCACUUUUUUUGACCUGUACCGAUAUUUAAAAGUGUUACUAUAAAUUAUUUUUGUUGUAGUGCAAAAUCUGUCUCGAAUCUGACCUUUUGACGGUCCUAAGCAUGUUUCAUAAUUGCAGGCAAUAAUUAGGUUUGCUUUUUAAAAAAAAAAAUUGAAAAAAGUUGCUCAAUUAUGAGUCUUGGGCUUAACGCUGUGUAGAAGCACCACUUUUCAGUUAGACUUCAGAAAAUAUAUUUCAAAAUUUAGUCCUCAAUAUUUAUAAUGUGUUUGUUUAUAUAGUUUUAUUUAAGUUAAUAUAAGCAUCUAUAUCCCACAUGUGCACUUAAUUUCCCCCAGUUUUCUAUGUUCUUCUAAAAUUGAAAUUAAAAUGUAAAAUAACAUCUUGGAUAAUGGUAGGGAGUGCUUGGUUGCGCGUAAAAUUAUUAAAGAUAUAUAUAUAUAUAUAUAUAUAUAUAUAUACAUUUGUUAAAGUUUUGUUGCACGUAAAUUGGAAAAAGUUUCUGAUGUAUGUAUACCUAUAAAUUGUUUGGUUUGAAAAAAAAAGAAAAUAGAUAGAGCAAGAGGUUCAGUUAUUUAGUUUGUGUCAUCGGAAAAAAAAAAACAUAAAUUGAAAAUAACAGUUUUCCUUAAAUACGUAAAACUAUUUUCGAUUUAAAAGUAUUUUAUAUGAAAUCAAACACCAAAUUUGAUAUAUCAACCUGAAAUUAUUUGCAGGGUCAUUUAAUGAGCAACCAAAGAGUACUCCUAGAGCCCAAUAUUCAUUUUUUGAGGGGUAUGCUAUCAAGUACGUAUUAUUUGAGGCAAAAGUUUAUUAAAAAAAAUCUUUUUUUUUUCCCUAUACUGUGGUACUUGCAUUGGAAUAGCAUAGAGGAAUCAAUUGAAUAAGAUCUAUGUUCCUCAAAGAAGUUUAUAUUCAUUUAUAAAGGGGCCAGCAUCCUGCCCUACAGCGUCAGGCAAGAUUGGGGUGAGUCACGUUCGAAAUAGCGUGAGACUAAAUUGGUUCGAGUUAUGUUCGAAAUUGCGUGAGGCUGGUUAAGCCGAGUCACAAUUGAGACCCAUAAGUGCUAUGUCUCUAUGCUCUAAAUGAAUUGAUUGCGUAUUUCUAACGGCUCGAGCUUUUAGAAUUAAUAAUUUGUGCUAAGGAUUCGACAGUUUAUCUUGUGAAGCACAAGGACUCAAACUAAAAAAUGACCACUGUAUAACAAUUGAAUAUAGAAUCAAUCAUUCAAUUUUUUUCUUUGUUACUAGUAUAUAUAUCUUUUUUUUUACUCUUCUUUUCUAAUAUUUGUUUGGACCAAAUUGUGUUCUUCAUUUACUUUUCAUGAUUUUUGGACAUGAAUAAUUUAAACAAUAAAAACUUACAAAAAAUUGCUAGCGAGCAAAAAACAAACAAUAUCUCUCUUGUGCUUAAAUAUUUCCAAUCCUCAUACCACAAAUGCUUAACACACAUCAAUUUUAAGUGCUAUCCACACCACUAGCUAGCAACAACAAUAUUCUAGUUACAAAUAAAAGAAGCACUAAUAAAAAAUAAAAGAAAAAAAAAAAAAAGGGAAACAUACCCACUGUGGCUGGUGAAAAGAAUCUAACCAAAAAAGCAAUAAAAAUGAACAAGAAAAAGGACUUGUUGUAGGUGAGACAAUGCAUGAUAGAGUUCUCCAUCACUGUAUACCUCCACUCCUCAUAGGCUCAAAAGGGAAACAGUAAAUAUAUAGGGAAAGAGUAUUUAAAUAUAUAGAAGCUUAAUUAAUUUGUGACCAAUAUUAGCAAUUCUCUGUACCCAGCCAAUCUGGUCUCCCUAGUGUGAACUCCAAACUAGGGAUUUUGAGUUCUUGAUGAGGUCUACUUGAGCCACUUGAGUGGCAAAGAUGAUCACCAUCCUGCACCAAAGUCAAAAUAUAUAUGUAUCUGUAUGUCUAUAUAUUGAACUCUUAGUCUCUUAGACAUAACUUAAAUGAUGGUUCAAACUUACUAGGUGAUUCUCUCUCUCUCUCUCUCUCUCUCUCGUACACACACAUAGUGAUCUACGAUUAAUUACUAUGCUUUUAAGAAGAAGCAGGCCUUUGCACAUACACUUUAUUUUUAGUGAUAGAGCAUACUAAUCAAUACAUGAUAGUAGAUAACCUAAAUAGGUACCAUAAUCUCCACCCUCAUAAAAGCAUAGUACGUAGCUCUCUCUCUCUCUCUCUCUCUCUCUCUCUCUCUCUCUCUCUCUUACUCCCUCAUGCACACACACAGAGAGUUUGCUAUGCUUUUAUGAAGUAGGCCUACGUAUGUACACUUUAUUUUUUGGAGAAGUGCUUAGUCUACAGGUAAAAAACGGUUAUAAUCUCUAUAUAUAACCCCUCACCUAAGGGAGAAGUGCUUAGUCUACAAGUGAAAAAAAGGUUAUAAUCUCUAUAACCCCUCACGUAAGGGUGGCUAGGCUUCACUAAUUAGGUUUUUUUUGUUUUUAGUAAAUGAUAAAAAAAAUUGAUAAGGCCAGUGGAGAAAAAGUAACCAUUGGAUGAGAAUAUUAUAGAAUACAAUCAAUUUUGGGUUGUGGUACUAAUCAAUACAUGAUAGAAGACAACUAAAUAGGUACGAUAAUCUCCCACCUAAUAAAAGCAUUGUAUAACUCUCACUCUCUCUCUCUCUCUCUCUAUUUGGAUUUGGAAUUAUUAAUAGUAUCCUAGCUCAACUCUAUCUGCGAACAUGUCUGCGUGCGCGCGUGUGAGUUUUUGUUUCCCUAUCAAAUCUCUCUCGGUGCAUGCGUGCGUAUCUGUUAGAACGUUUAUGUAAGGGUUCGAAGCCAGUAGAAUAUAUGGUACCUGGAAUUGUGAUGAAGCUGUCAUUGAUGCGUGAUCUUCUAGUUCGCAUGAAUUCAUCUGAAGCCAACCGCCCUUGCUGAAAGUAUAUAUACAAGAGGAGAACUUCUUAGUCAUGAAAAUCAUUCCCAAUGUUUUUACAACAUAUAUAAGUCACAGUAAAUUUGCUAACACAACUAGUUUUCUUUUGAUGGAACUUAGCUCAUUAGUAUUUAUGUUAAGUCAUGCUGAAAACAUGAAUGCAUUAUAUAUAUAUAUAUUUUUUUCGAGCAGAGACAUUAUGCAUACAUAUAAAUACAGUAUAAAAUUGUUUUAUAUAAAUAUAAACAAUUUUCUAUCAAAGUUUCAUAUGAUUCGAAUAUUUUUAACUAACUUUUCUUGACAAUACACGUUCUCAUAGAUAUCUGAGUGUUAUCUUGUAAAUGCCAUGCAUUUUGAGACUAACAAUCACGCUUGGUGACUACGGUUCGUUUCAUUUACGAAUCUAUUUCCUGAUUAAAUCUUGAUUAUUAGUCUCAAAUGGCAUUCAUAAGAUAACACUCAAGUAUCUAUGAGAAUAUGCAUGUAUUGUUGAGAAAAGUUAUGUACGGCACAACCACUCCAUGGAUGUUAUUUUUGUAACAGGAUUCGUGAUCGAUCGACUAAUUUAAUGCUCGAAAGAAAUUGUCAAAUGGAACAAUUUGUAUAAAUUGUAUCUUAAGUUUGGUUUUACUUGUUUGCUUUUAUAUUAAUUUUUUCAAACUUCUCCACAGAGUUAAGCAUUUAAAUUACAUAUAUGUGUUUUUCCUUGUGUGGAUAUAUAGGCUAGUCAUGGGUUACUAUUAUUAAAGUUAAUUACUUAUUGUUCAAAAUCUCUCUCCCUUCAAAAAAAUUUUGUAGAGUCUACAUAGAGAUGAAAAAAAAACAAUACAAAUCAUAGGAAAAAUCUCUACUAUAUCAAUAUAUAAUUAAAUUGCGCAAUAUUGGAAAAUAUUCCUCUUUAAAUUAAGACCUUAAUGGGUCCUAUGAUUUAUUAGGAAGUAGAUGACAUAUUAUUAACAAAUUAGGUUUUGCCUAGCAGUUGGUACCCUCCCUCUCUUGGGAGAGGACAAAUUAACAGAUUUUCAGUAUUUCCAAAAAAUAAAAAAAAGGAACAAUUUUGUAGGAAAAAAGCAAACUAAAAGAGCAAGGAAAUUAUAUACAAUAUAGUUUGUUUUUCUAUUUAAUUACCUUCAAAAACACUAGGAAAUAUACAAAACAUAGAUGAUUUAUUAAAGAAAGGUAACUACUUAAUGGCAAAAUGAAAUGAGGAUAACCUUCAUAUCCCACAUUUAUUAUCCUACUUGUAGAGCUAGCUGUAGCUUAAAAGAAAACAAGAAUAAAAUAAGAGCAUAGAAACAAAGAUAGAGGAGACAUGUAACAUAUAAAUAACUCUAGGGUACAUUAAUUGGGUCAAAACAAGCUCAUGUUCUCAGAGCCCAUGCAGUGGAAAAAGAAGUGAUUUAACUGGACUAAUAAGAACAAAGAAAGAAAGGACAAAAAGGAACCCUAGAACCAAAUGCUAGACCACAAUAUAUAUAAUAAGGCACCAACAUCAAAGAGAGAGGAGCACUCAACUCAAGGUGUGUGUAGCUUAGUCUUUCUGGUUACAACCACUAAAUAUAUAACAUAUCGCUUAGGAGAAGACAACGUACGUAUUAAUCUAAGAUGAUGAACUACAAAGGAUAUGGCAUUCACAAAGCAAGGUGUUGUUUCAUAUCUAUAUAUACUGUGUUUUUGAUUUAACAAGUGGAGAUCUUUCUUUUCCCCUCUCCCUUAGCUUUUGCUUUAAAUCUCCCUGUGAGAUCUCAAGUAACACAAAAGCAAGAGAGAAAAGCAAAAGCUGCCAUGCAUAUAUCUAUACCCUUUUGCACCAAGAUAUGGAAAACAUAGCUAUGAUGCUCCAUCUCCUAACCUUAAUUGGGUAAACUAAUGCAUAUAUAUAUAUAUAUAUAUAUAUAUGUAUAUGUAGAGGUGGCUUACAUUGAUGGGUUAUUCCACAUGGUAAUGGAGUCCUUAUCGUGUUGGUGGAGCGGCGCAUUUGAAUCUCCUUGUGAUGACAUUGAUCGUCGCAACCCAAAAUCGGUGAGCAUAGGAGUGAAAUCUUCUUCACCUGAGCAUUCUGAUUGGUCUUAAGAAAAUUUUAAAGAAAAAGUUUAGGAAAUAAGUGUUAAAAGCGUUUUUGCAGAAAAAAAAUUAACUGGAUAAGAAUCUUAAGCAUGGUUUUAGCUAAGUUAAUGAAGGGUAAAGGUAUAUUAAUGAGUAGGCACCUCCAAAAGACCAAGGAAUAUGAAUUACCUGGGGAAGUUGCAGGUUUCUCAGUGGACUUAACAGUUCUAUACAUCUGUAGACACAAAAGAGAGAGAGGGAGAGAGAGAGAGAGAGAGUGAAAAAAAAAGACCAAUAGAGAGAGAAAUAGAGAGAGAAAAGAAGAGAAAGAGGAGUGAAGUGAUGUUACUACAAUAAAGGAGAAUAGGGGUGAGAAGGAAAGUAAAAGAGGUGAACUCAAGGUUCACUCCAAACUAAUGCUCUUUUCUUUCUUCUUUUCAGGUUGUUUCCUUUCCAUUUUAAAUACCUCCAUUACUCACGAGGUUGAUGCUUUGGGAGUUGUUUGUUUACAGCUUUACAUUAUUGUGAAAUGAUGGCUCCUUUCUCUCUCUCUCUCUCUCUCUCUCUCUCUCUCUCCCCUCUUCUAUUAAUCGCACUCUCCUGUCUGAAAGAAGACCCCAUUUACCCUAUUCAUCCAUGUAGAUCAUUCACUCCCCCAAUUCAUUCAUGUAGCCAUUCACUGUUCGUACUGGUUACUACGCACAAAUAGAGAGAGAGAGAGAGAGAGAGAGAGAGACCUAGUUGAGUGGUUGGAGAAUGGACAUACCUGCAAGUGGCUCUUUACAUGGGCAAGAGUGAGAUCUUUGACAUCCAUAAGCUCAAGAACUGAUUUUGGUGUAGCUCCUUGUUUGUUCACAAGUUCAGGAAAAAAAAAAAGAAUAAACCCCACAAAAUCAACAACAAACACCAAAUUAACUUACAUACAACUGAACUAUAAAUUUACCUAAAAACCCCUCAUUAUUUGGUUAAAAGAAAGCAAAGAGAUAAAUCAAGAAAUAAAAGAUAGGGAAAAGGAACAUAUAUUUGUUUGCUUACUCUCAUGGCCACCUAGGAGGUCGACGGCAUGCACGAACCGUGCAUGGAGAGCGCUCGUCCACCGCAUUCUCGGCGCCCGCAUGUUCCUCUUUGUAGGGAACUUCGGCACGAAUAUCCUAGAUCUUAUCAUGCUUUGGGAGCUCUCAAAUGCCCCAACUCCAUACUGAUUGAUAUUGUAGUAUUGGUAGUGAUCACUUCUCAUCGGGUCGAAAGCAUAUCCACCAAAGCUUGUUGGCGGUGCAAUUAUUCGAUGAUACGGUGAUCCGAAGGCCGGUAAACCUCCGUAGGCGCUAGAAGAAGAGCUAAAAGAGGAGUGUGGAUUAGAUGGGUGCAAAGAGAUUUGUGGGUCGUGCCCCCUUUCUGGAGAGGAUGAGGGUGGGGUGUUGUAUGAGGGGAGGCCUCUUAUCGGUGUAGCGAUAUCGAACAAGGAUGUCAUGUGGUUUGUCGACGACAGGGAGAGGUCAGUGCGAGCGUGAGAGACAUCGGCGUGGGUGGGCUCUACGGGGCGAAGGAGGAGGUCGAGGCCGAGAUCACGGUCGAGGUUGGGUGCGGUGGAGGGACAGUUGUUGCUCGGGGGGCUGAUGUUUAGUGAGAGGUCCGGAGAGGGCAUUGAGUUGGUUCCCAUGAAGAGUUCUUAAGACAACAUCAAAUGAUCCUAUAUAUAUAUAUGCUUGGUUAGGGUUUGAUGGUGUUGUGUUUGGGUGACAAGCUAGAAGAAACUCAGUUCACUACAUUAGAGUUAGGGACAAAGUAGAGAGAGGGAUGACUUAUUUUAAUGGCUAUUAAUUUAUGGGAAGAUAUCUUCUUUGAGAGGAGGAGAGUAAAAGGGGGAUGAUGAAGGAUUGGAUGGUAAUGCAACUGUUUGUGUUUUCUUUCUCUUCUCCUUCUACUGGAUAUGUUUGUGUAGAGAGAGAGAGAGAGAGAGAGAGAGAGAGAGAGAGAGAGAGAGAGAGAGAUGGGUGGGUGAUCAAGGUAUAGUGUGAAUGACUAAAGUUGAUGGGGAACAAAAAGAAGGGAAAAGGAAGAGCAUUUAGUAGGAAAAUGGGGUCUCGUCUCCUGUGAGCAAAUUUGGGAAAAUGACUUUGAGAGAGAGAGAGAGAGAGAGAGAGAGAGAGAGAGAGGAGAUUAGUCAAAGUACAAAGGGGAUUUCACUCUUAUAUGGACUAACCUUAAUUACAAGUAACAAGUUUCACAGUUUUUCUUUUCCUGGUUACUUUUUUUUCCUUUUCUCUUUUUGGGGCAUCAAGUAAUAGUGGAGGAAGUUACGGCCACGUUAUUAGAAAAUGACAUGCACAAUAAGUUGGUUAACAAAGGCAAUCAUAAAAAUCUUUAGAUUAUGAGAAAUGCUGGGAGUAUACAAUCAAGGAGUGUAACUCUACAAUUACUCAUCCAAGAAUGUCGAGGGUUAAUGAUCAUAUCUAGCGCAGUUGGCUACGAAUUUAAUAGUUGAUAUGUAAGAUCCAAAGUUCAAUCUAGUUAUUUUACAAUUCUAAUUGAAUUUAUUUCUAAAAAAUGGCAAUAAAGAUAGUUUGCUAUCUACUUUACUCUUAAAAAAAAAAAAAGGGGGGAAAAAUGAGCAUGGAGAGUUUACUAAACCUUUUUUGAUUUUUCGUGAAAAAAAAAAUUGAUAAAAUUAAUGAAAAAAGUAUUGUAAAAUUACAACCCAAAGUGGGAUGCAGACCACCUUACCACUCCUCCCUUGGAGUAAGGGGGUUGUAAUCCUACGGUCUUUUUGGAUUGUAGACUUAGCAUUUCUCUAAACGAUAUAUCAAGAUGGAUAUAUGAAACAUGAAUUUUAAAUGGUGAACAGGCCAAAACCAAAUUACACUACAAUAAAAACGGUCUAUAGGGACACUUUUAAAUGUCGGUAUAGGUCAAAAAAAGUGCCGCUGGCUAAAUUACCGACACUUUUAAAAAGUAUUGCUAUAUGUGGGGUCGCUAGGUAUAUAGUGACAGUUAAAGAGUGUCGCUAUAACCUAAAAAGAAUGCUGCUAAUUUACCAAUAUUUAUUUAAACAUUUAGCAAACGCCGGAACUCUACCUCGUUCUCUAUGGUGGCGGAGGAGGAUGAGAGGGAAGGGCUCAUCGUCUAGGAUUUCAGUGGAUUGAGUAAGAGGAGAAUGGGAGAUGGUAAUCGAUUUUUCUUUUUCUUUUUUUUUUUUCUUUUCUGUUUGUAAUCGGGCCGAAUAGACUAGGUGGGGUGUGUUGAAUAGAGUAACAUUUUAUUUUUGGUUAGGUUGGGCUUUAUAUUUAGAUAUUAGUAGAUUUUUUUAAAAGUUUUGAUAUAAAUGGAACAUUUACACAAAAGUAUCUCAAACAUGUGUCCUUAUAAUUUAAUUCUGUUGUAGUGAAAUGUACACGCCUCCAUAGAUAAAUAUAGAAAUGAUUAGUAUUAGUACAAAGCAUUUUUGGAGUGGAUGGACAUGAAUUCUUAGACCUUAGCAUACUCUAAAAAGACCUUGAUAUUAACUGAUCAUGAAUAGAAAUUAUUACUAAAAAAAUGGAUGUAUUGAAACGAAUAAAAACCUACUGUACUGGUCAAAUCUGUUCUUAUUUUCCUAAUUAAUAUUACUAACUACAUUCUAAUGUUUUUUCUCUCAAACUUUGCUAUAUGUUGCUACCGAGUUCGAUAUCAAAUAAACGAUAUAUAUGCAUCAAAGUAUGAAGAUCGGCUAAAUUGCAUAGGGUUUAUGACAGAAAAAAUUUAUUUAUGUGAGGAGGAUUUGUAGUUGUUGAAGUGACUAAAGUUUCUUCCAACAAAUAAAUUAUAAGCUUCAGAGGCCCUUAAAUUAGAUUGCUAUGCCAUUUUCUGUAGUUCCAUACAUAUUAUUAAUUGAUGCUUUGCAAGAAAAGUCAAGAUGAAUUAUUUCACAAUUGUUUAAGAAACUCCUUAUUGUAGUACACAUGAAUAGAGCAAUUCAAAAUCAAAUAAAUAAAUAAACUAGAUUCCGAUUGUCGCUUAUACAAUUAUAUAGAAGCUUAGUAUUACACAUAAUCCCCUGAGGGAUCUUCACAUGAUCAUAGUAAAGCACCCACUAGAGGGGGAAACAUGCAUGAUUGUCAUUAACAAUUUUCAAGUGAUUUUAAUAGCUUAAACAAACCAUCUAGUUAGCAUUAGACAUUGGAGAUUGUGUCUUUGCAAAUUGUAAAACUUCCAAUUAACCCUAGUGAUUUAAUAUGAAAGACAUGCAUUUUAAUAAACUUGUAGGGUUUGUCUAAUAGUGCCUAGGGUUUUAAUUUCAAGCUGGUUGACUUAACAUUGGGUGGUGAAUAUUAUAAACUCUUAAGUAGUAGACCUUCCAAAAGUUCUAAUUCCCUCUCAUACUCCCAAAUAUUCCCUCCUAAUGUUGCAUGCCUUGUCUAGUUUCUUUAUUGCAUGCCACAUGAUCCAUCUCAUAAGGUUGACCCGUUUAGAUCUCCAAACCCUAGGUUCCAUCAAGGCUUAAUUAUUUAAUACCAUGAUGAUUAUGGAGAUCUUAUGGGGAGUUGCAGAAGCUUUUGAGCUAAUAAACAUGUUUUUCGAAAGAUGAUCACCAUUGUAUGCACUCUAACACACCACCUUUUUCCAACAUUUUACGUACAACUUUGCAAAUAUAUAUAUAUAUAUAUAUAUAUAUAUAUAUAUAGCAGGGCUGCUGUGCUCUCAGGAGCACGGAGGCCUCCUGUGCUCCUGAGCGUUUUCGAUGAUGAAUUUUCGAAUCGACGAUCAGCUCCGUUAGACUUGAUCUAGCCGAUUUGAAAUUUCUAGAAAUAAUUUUGUGAUUUUUCGAUAUCAUUUACCUAGUGAUUGAACGGAUUCAAAAUCCAUAAUUUUUAAUGGUUGAUAUCUGUCGUUUUCAAGUUUAACGGUGUAGAAGUAUUCAAAUCAGAUGAAAUUUUGAUACAAAUUCUUUAUACUAUCUACAACAAGAUCAAUAUAUUCUGAUCGAAAAUUUUAGUGCUAUAUACACACUUUUUAUAAGAUUUUAUUUUCAGCGUUAAAAAUUAUUAUUUUGAAUCUUUCGAUUGCUAGGUAAAUGAUAUCGAAAAAUCGUAAAAAUUAUUUUCUAUAAACCUCAAAUAUACUAGAUCAAAUUUAACGGAGCCGAUCGUCAAUUCGGAAACUCCAUCAUCGAAAACGGCUCAGGGGCACGGAGGCCUCCUGCUCCUGAGAGCCACAACAGCCCUGCUUAAUAUAUAUAUAUAUAUAUAUAUAAUAUAUAUAUAUAGGCAGGGCUGUUGUGCUCUCAGGAGCACGGAGCCCUCCGUGCCCCUGAGCCGUUUCGAUGAUAGGACUUUCGAAUCGACGAUCGGCUCCCCUAGACUUCAUCUAGUGUAUUUGAAGUUUCUAGAAAUAAUUUUUGUGAUUUUUCAAUAUCAUUUACCUAGCAAUCGAAAGUUUCAAAAUCAAUAAUUUUAACGGCUGAAAAUAAAAAUCCUAUAAAAAGUGGUGAUAUAGCACUAAAAUUUCGAUCAGAAAUAUUGAUCUUGUUGUAGAUAGUAUAAAGAAUUUUGUAUCAAAAUUUCAUCUGAUUUGAAUACUUCUACACUGUUAACUUGAAAACGACAGAUAUCAACCAUUAAAAAUUAUUGAUUUUGAAUCCUUUCGAUCACUAGGUAAAUGAUAUCGAAAAAUCGUAAAAAUAUUUUCUAGAAACUUCAAAUACGCUAGAUCAAGUCUAAUGGAGCCGAUCGUCGAUUCGAAAAUUCUAUCAUCGAAAACGGCUCAGGAGCACGGAGGCCUCUGUGCUCUUGAGCGCACAGCAGCCCUGCUCAUAUAUAUAUAUAUAUAUAUAUAAUAUAUAUAAUAUAUAGAGAGAGAGAGAGAGAGAGAGAGAGAGAGAGAGAGAGAGAGAGAGAGAGCGUCUGGUAUGUUCUGGAAGCACGAAGCACUCCGUGCUUCCAAGUUGUUUUCGAUGUUCAGACUUUCGAAUCGACGAUCGGCUCCAUUAGACUUGAUCUAGAGUAUUUGAAAUAUCUAGAAAAUAAAUUUUGCGAUUUUUCGAUAUUAUUUGCCUAGUGAUCGAAGUGGCUCAAAAUCAACGGCUGAAUAAAAAUUUUACAAAAUAUGAGAUAUGGCAUUAAAAUUUUAGAUCAAGUUAUUGAUCUUAUUUUAUAUGGUAUAAAGAUUUUCUAUCAAAAUUUUAUAUGAUUUGGAUAUUUUUACACCGUUAAACUUGCAAACGGCUCACACGGCCUUUAAAAUUAUUGAUUUUGAACCCCCUUUCGAUCACUAGGCUAAUGAUAUCGAAAAAUCACAAAAUUUAUUUUCUAGAUACUUCAAAUACUCUAGAUCAAGUCUAACGGAGCGAUCGUCGAUUCGAAAGUCCCGAACAUGGAAGCAAUGAAGGGCUCGUGCUUCUAGAAACAUACCAGCCCCCUCUCUCUCUCUCUCUCUCUCUCUCUCUCUCUCUCUAUAUAUAUAUAUAUAUAUAUAUUAUAUAUAUAAUAAUAUAUAUAUUAUAUAUAUAUUAUAUAGUGCGGCUAGGAUGCUUAUGGAAGCACGGAGGGCUCCGUCCUUCCACUUUGUUAUUCGUGUUCGGACUUUCGAAUCGACGAUCGGCUCCGUUAGAGUUGAUCUAGAGUAUUUGAAGUAUCUAGAAAAUAAAUUUUGGAUAUCAUUUGCCUAGUGAUCGAAGUGGCUCAAAAUCAACGGCUGAAAAUAAAAAUCUUACAAAAUAUGAUGAUAUAACAUUAAAAUUUUAGACCAAAGUUAUUGAUCUUGUUUUAUAUGGUAUAAAGAAUUUUCUAUCAAAAUUUCAUAUGAUUUGAAUAUUUCUACACUGUUAAACUUGCAACCGGCUUACCAUGGCCCUUAAAAUUAUUGAUUUUGAGCUCCUUCAAUCACUAGGCAAAUGAUAUCGAAAAAUCGCAAAAUUUAUUUUCCAGGUACUUCAAAUACUCUAGAUCAACUCUAACGGCGCCGAUCGUCGAUUCGAAAGUCCGAACAUCGAAAACGACUUGGAAGCACGGAGGCCUCCGUGCUUCCAUAAGUAUACCAGCACAACUCUCUCUCUCUCUCUCUAUAUAUAUAUAUAGUGUGAGGCUACUAUGCUUCUGGAAGCACGGAGCCUUCCGUGAUUCCAGGUUUUUUCGAUGUUGCGACUUUCGAAUCGUCAAUCAGCUCCGUUAAACAUGAUUUAAAGUAUUUGAAGUACCUAGAAAAUAAAUUAUGCGAUUUUUUGAUAUUAUUUGCCUAGUGAACGAAGGGGCUCAAAAUCAACGGUUGAAAUUAAGAAUCUUACAAAACGUGAUAAUAUGACAUUAAAAUUUUAGAUCAAAGAUAUUGAUCUUGUUUUAUAUAGUAUAAAUUUCACGUGAUUUGAAUUAAAAUUUCAAAAUUUAUUUCAAAUAUGCUAGAUCAAGUCUAACGGAGUCGAUCGUCGAUUUGAGAACUCUAUCAUCAAAAACGGUUUAGGAGCAUGGAGGCCUCCGUGCUCCUAAUAACACACAAGGCCUACUAUAUAUAUAUAUAUAUAUAUAUAUAUAUAUAUAUAUAUAUAUAUAUAUAUAGAGAGAGAGAGAGAGAGAGAGAGAGAGAGAGAGAGAGAGAGAGCUAGGCUUCUAUGCUUUUGAAAGUACGGAGGCUUCCGUGCUUGUAAAUUAUUUUCAAUUAUGAAACAUUCGAUUUGACGAUCGGCUUAGUUAUGUAUGAUCUACGCUAUUAGAACUAUUUAGAAACCAAAUUUUAUAACUUUUAAUUACAUUUGCCUAGUGUACGAAUAGUCUCAAAAUAAAUAGCUGAAACCAAAAAUUUUAUAAAAAAUAAUGAUAAAAGGCUCAAAUUUUAAAUCGAAAAUAUUAUUCUUACUCUUGAUGUUAAGUAGAAUUUUUUAUUAAAGUUUCAUAUAAUUUGAAUUCUUCUAUACCGUUGAACUUACAAAUGUACUAUAUCGGCCGUUAAAUAAUCAUUUUUGAGACGCUUUGAUCACUUGAUAAAUGAUGUCGAAAAAUUAUGAAAUUUGGUUUCUAAAUAGUUCUAAUGGGAUAUAUCAUAUUUAAGGGAGCCGAUUGUCGAAACAGAUAUCCCAUCAGUGAAAAUAACUUAUAAGCAUGAAGGCCUCCGUGUUUUCGAAAACGCAAGAGACAUACGCUCUCCCUCUCUCUCUCUCUAUAUAUUGAGAAAAAUAGCUAGUUAUGUGUUGUAUACAUUAAAUUAAUGAACUAAGCUAUGGAAUUGAGGUAACAAAGCCUCAGAAAGGAAAUUCAUAAAAAAAAAAGAAGAGAGAGUGGAAGGGAUCGGUGAGAAGGUGGACUUUGAGAAAGCUUAUAAUAGAUUAAUUAGUCUUUCCUGGGCUUCGUUUGGUUCAGGGUUAAAUAAGAACUAGUUAUUUCAGGAAUAAGUAUAAGUUCAGGUAUAAGCCUGAAAUAAGCCAAUUUUGCAUUUAGAUGAAAAUUGAGUUAUUCUCGGAAAUGAGAAAAAUAGCAUUUGGAUAGAUAAGAUAGAAUAAGAAGAAUAGUAGAUAGUUAUAAAUAAAAAAUAAUGAUAUUGCCUCUUAUAUUUGAAUUUAAAUUUUUUAAUAUUUAUAUUUAAAAUUUUAAAUUUAAAUAUAUAACUUUAAAAAUAAUAAAAUUUAAAAUACAAUUUAAAUUUUUAAAUCUCAAAUUCAAAAAUUUAAAGUUCUAAAUUUUAAAUUUAAGAUUAAAUUUAAAUUUAAAAAAAAUUCAUUUUAAAUUUAAAAAAAUAUAAAUAAUAAUUUAAAAUUAUAAAUAUUAAUUAAGAUUAAAUUCUUAAAUUUUAAAAAUUUAAAAUUUAAAAUUAAAAUAUAAAUUUAAAUUUAAAAAUUAAAUUGGGGUCGGAUUAACUAAUCCCACCCCAAUUCCGGGUGUGGGGGUUUAUUAACCCACCCUAACGUUAUCUCUUCCCUUAAUCCCCAAACAUCAUUUUCAAAGGGUGUGGGGUUUAAUUAACCCCACCCCUAACGGGUUAUCCCCGGGAUAACCCGGGAUAACCCGUUAGGGUGGGUAAUAAACCCCACACCCUUUGAAAAGGAUGUUUGGGGAUUAAGGGGAGAGGCCGGGAGAUAAUCCCUUAUUCCCCCCUCCUAAACCCCAACCAAACGGGGCCUAAGAGAAUAAUGCUCUGCCUAAGUUUCAACAUCUAAAUAAUUUUUUUAUACAUAAAUUAUAGUAAUAAAUAAUAAAAUUAUAAAGUAAAAAAAUAUUAAUACUUAAUUAAUCAACUUUUAUCAUAUUUUAAAUGCACAAACUAUAUAAAGAAAAUAUUAAAACUUAACUAAUCAAAUUUUAUAAUAUUUUAGAUAUAUUAACUGAAUAAAAAAUAAUUAGUAACAUAAUUAAGUAUAUUUAAAUAUAACUAUCUUUAUCUAUUAUAUUAUAUUAUUAUUAUUUUUUUCACCUCUCUUCGCCGUAAUUGACUUUUCCCCCACGAUGGGGCGAAGUCAAUUACGCAGUUUGAGGUUAACUUGAGUUUCGACCGUAACUUUUUUACAGUGAACCAAGCAACGGAAGUGGCCGUUUAGGAUGAAAACGACUUCCCUCUUCUCUACUUCCACCCCACUUUCACCCAAACAAACAUGCCCUAAGUAGUGCCAAAUAUAUAGGUUUUAAAUCUAAUUUGAAAUAAAAACUUCAGACUAUUUUGCUUUUACAAAAAUUAGCUCUAAUUAUUCAUUCUAGCUUAAACUCCGAGUUUUUGUUUAUGGUAUUACUGAAUAACUUAUUUGUCGCGUCUUUCAAAAAUCAGAAGCUGUUUUGAAGUGCAAAUCAAACAAUUACGUAAAUAUUAAUUCGACUGCUUGUUCUCUAUUUCAAAUUUAGUUCGUUACGUAAUUGGCUUGUCACAACAUUUUUUUUUUCCUUUCAUAAUUCUUAUUUUUCAAAAUCAUUAUUUUUUUUUUAUUUUCUCUUUUUUUUUCUUUUGUAAUUUAAAAGGAGGUUAGGGGAAAGAUGAAACAUGAGGACUCUACUUGUUGUCUCAAGUGUCACAUCCUUUGGUAGCAUAAAUGGAGGCUGAGUCCAAAAGCAAGGAAUCUUACAACACGCAAACAUUUGCUCUUUAAUGGUCACAGGGAAAAGGGUUUGGCAUAAAAUGAUCACAUCUUAGCUUUUAAAGCCUCCCUUCACACACCUCCCCACUCUUCAUGAAAGUGGAGGACACAAAUGCUCUCUUUUUGUGGUUUUAUUGCCACAAGGCUUUGAAAAGGGAAGAGAAGGGAAAGAGAGAUAGAUAUAUAUAGCCCACAUGGUCUCAGCAGAAGACAACUACCGAACCUCUGGUUCCCUACAAUUCACCCCUACCCUAACCCUAACAACGAGGGUGCGCGUUUAAUAUUAUAUUAAAAUACUAAAAAUACUAUUCUCUUGUAACUUAAGCUUUGGGAGGAAAAGAAAAAAAGAAAGUUAUUUUGUAAACUUUAAAAUGGUACUAGAGAAGCCAACUGUGUACCCUAUCGCAGUCCGGCUUAGGGCUUUUAUUGACUGAUACUCGAGGUCUCAAGUUUAAAACCUUAUUAUUUCAUGUUUUGUUGCUAAGUUCAUUUCUAAAAAACGAACAAAACAGGUAGCUUUCUUUUUUCUCUCUUUCAUCACUAAUAAUAAUAAUAAUAAUAAUAAUAAUAAUGAUGAUGAUGAUAUCAAAAUAAAAAAUUUUGAGUUUGAGUCCCACCAGAAUCCUGGUUAAUUAAUUAAUAGUUUACGCUAUUAGAGAUAAAUGAUUGUUUUAUAUUCUUUGAUAGAAAUAUCAAUAUUUAGUUAGGAUUUGAGCAUUGGUUUGGCAACUAAAACUUGGAAUAAUGACCUGAAAAUGUUAUUAGUUCAAGGUUUUGCCGGUUUUUUCAAGUUUUCGACUAUUGAUUAAUUUUUUUUUGUUGAUUCUAAACAAAUCAAAAGAUCAGUUCACGGUCUAGUCCGUCCAUGCAACUGGCCAUAUAUAGUUUCAAAAAAUUAAAAAUUUUACUAGAUUAAUUGAUACGCUAUUAAUCUCAGUAAUAUUGCUAGCUAUACUAUAUGUUUAUAUUAUAAUACUAUACUAAAAGUUCAAUUAACUCCCACUUAAAGUUUAAAACUGGCUUGUUAAUUCCUGCUAUUUAAGAGGGUAUACAUGCUAGGGUGCUUUAAGAUUAAAUCUAGUUUCAAAAAAGGGAAUAGGCUCUGUAAGUCCAUUUGUACCCUCAUCCCAAAACUUUUUUAGUUGCUUAAUUUAUUUGAGGGCCCGGUGCACCGGUAACAAUGACCAAUGCUAUAUGUAUAUCCAAAAGAGAGUGUAUAAAUCUGUGGCACCUUACUUUUCAGAGAAUCAUCCAUUCCAAAGCUAUUCUAAUUCUGGCACGCUUAACCUUUUUAUCUUCUUGGGUCUAGUCACUUUUCAAUAUAUUAUAACCAGAUUAAGAACUUUCACAAAUAUCAGGUGAUGUAAGAUUCGUCUAGCUAGCCAUAGUGAAUGUUAUAAGGAGCCGCGCUCCAUCCAUAACGGUUAUCAGCCGGGGAACCGCGCUCCACCUAUAACGGUUAUCAGCCGGGGAACCGCGCUCUGUCCUCUGUAUGAUCCUGACUUAGCUAAAACUCAUUUCACACUUCCAACUAGUGAUUUACUCUGAUACCAUCUUAAUUUUUUCACGUUCUAAUUAGAAUUUUGCAAAUACUGAUUUUCAAAAAGAAAAAAAUCCUUUAGAAAAAAAUAAAUCCUUUUUUAAAUUAGUUUCGGGGCGUAACAAAAUCUUAUAUUUUCUGCAUCCAAGAGUGCAUUUUCACACUAAUAUUAAUGUUGCACCCUUCUUUUUUUUUAAUCCUUGGAUGGGAGUGAAUUUACACCCAAAAUUUUAGUCUAAGAAUAGCAUUUUUCCUAACAAAAGGGUGGUACAAUUAAGGCAUCAAACGAAAAGAAGAGAAUUAUUUCAAUCUUCUUGGUCAAGAGUGCUAAGAACAGUAAAAAAAAAAAGAUCAUAUUAAGAGAUUUAGUUCAAUUUCCCUGUUUAAGAGUGCUAAAAAUAGUACUAAAAAUAGUACUUAAAAUAGUGCUAAAUCAAGAUCAAAAUUUAUUUCGUAUUAUGGUAUUAAUUAAUUAGCUUAUUGUUUAAGUAAUAAAACACCUUCGUAUAUAUUAUGGUAUUAAUUAAUCAUGAUGUUUUAUUAGUUUUAGUAGAUCCAAAAAUUUGGAAAACUUUUUUUUAUGAAAACGAGUUAGUUAAUUGAUACGAUAGUUAUAUUCAUUAGAAUCCAAUAAUAAAAGUUAAUUAAAUAGAUAAUGCAAUAAAUUAUCAAGUUUGAUACUCCAUCUAGAAAAGAAAAUUUUCUAAAUUAUGGCAGCGGCACCAUAACAUUUAUGUCUCCAAUUAAUCAAAUAUGUCCAUGGAGUUUACUCAUCCCAUCAUGUGUUUUUUUUUAAAAAAUAUUAUUAUAUUUUUCUUUAAGAGAAAAAUUUUAAUUAGCUUGAGAUACUGCAACGCAGAUAUUGAUGUAACUGAAACUUUGUAACGGAUCACGUGGAGAUUUUAAAAAAUAUAGAAUGAAGGUGAUAUGUUAAAUUAUAUUAGUAAAAUUUGCAUUUCAAUUUCAUUAUUCUUUAAUUAUCACUACAACAAAAUUAAGUUAUAGAAACACAUGUUUAUGAACUUUUGUGUAUGUGUCCUAUUUAUACCAAAAUAUUUUAAAAAUCUACUAAUGCCUAAAUAUAAAGUCCAAUUCAACAAAAAUAAAAUGUUACUCUACUCAACCCACCCCACCCAGCCCAUUCGGCCCAAUUACAAACAGAAAAGAAAAAAAAAAAGAAAAAUCGAUUAUCAUCUCCCCUUCUUCCCUCACUCAAUCCACUAAAAUCCUAGACGAAGAGCCCUUCCCCCUCGUCUUCCUCUGCCACCGCAGAGACGAGAUAGAGUUUCGGCAGUUGCUAAAUGUUUAAAUAAGUGUUGGUAAAUUAGCAGCACUUUUUUAGGUUAUGGUGAUACUCUUUAACUGUCACUAUAUCCCUAACGAAUCCACAUAUAGCAACACUUUUUAAAAGUGUCGGUAAUUUAGCCAGCAGCAUUUUUUUUUAUCUAUACCGAUAUUUAAAAGUGUCGUUAUAAAUCGUUUUUGUUUUAGUGUUCUGGUAGUAUGGUUUUGGAUUAUUGUCAAAUCACUGAUAGAAUAUAAUUAAAAGAUCAUCGAAGUUAACCUUAAAUUGUUUGGUUGGGAGUUAAGGGGUGGAAUAACCCCUUAACCCCCAUUUUAUCCCCAAACACCCCAAAAAAUGGGUGAGGUUAGCUAACCCCACCUCAAAUAAAUUAUCCCGGGUUAGCUAACCCCACCUAAUCCCACCAAACUCCAACCAAACACUAGUUUCUAUUCAUAAUAACCUACUAUCUUUCUUAUCACACCUACUCCAACGAAUCAUUAUCCUUCUUUAUCAAUCAUUAUCUUCUUAUCCCACCUGCUCCAACCAAACACUAUUUUUCAUUAUUCUAGACUAACUCCAACCCCCAACCAAACACAAAAAAAUUUUAACCCCACUUUAACCCUGAACUUAACUCUAUCUCUGGAAUAGCUAUUUUUUCCUUAACCCCGAACCAAACGGAUUUAAAUUUUUUUUCUAAUCCAUCAUUGAUCAAAUCCUCUUUAUUUUUUCUGAUUUUUUAAAAGAGAAAGAUAGCAAGUUAUCUGCUUCAUUUAUUUUUUUAAAAAAUAAACUCAGCUAGAUAUAUAAAAUAAUUAGAAUCCAAAGUAGAGACUUUGAAUACCAAUCAUAAAGUCUUUA
This 67486-nucleotide long non-coding RNA is filed under the name Ananas comosus (pineapple). RNAcentral describes it as "long non-coding RNA (ACOM_LNC023711)". Lineage: Eukaryota; Viridiplantae; Streptophyta; Magnoliopsida; Poales; Bromeliaceae. The record is from RNAcentral.